This 50239-nucleotide long non-coding RNA is filed under the name Phoenix dactylifera (date palm). Its description in RNAcentral is "long non-coding RNA (PDAC_LNC000240)". The record is from RNAcentral. Lineage: Eukaryota; Viridiplantae; Streptophyta; Magnoliopsida; Arecales; Arecaceae.
GAGGAGCCAAGGAGAUCAGAAACCAGACCAGCCUCAGCUCUUCUAAAACUCCAGGUAGACAGUGUCCGACAUGAGCUGCUACCAGGAAAGGUUUUCCUCGGAGGAUGACUACUGCACCUACGCGUCGAAAAUGGAGAAGAAGACAGACAUGACUAAAGGGCCUCACUUCCCUCAGCUUCACACUGUGAUCAAGCACAAGGAGGUCCAUAUGGAAGAGGACGAGUCACGCCCUGGAAUCUUUGGCCGGCCGAGGCACGAGGAGUGGUCUGAAGAGGAGACCUAUGAAAUGUCUGAGACCACCUACGCAGGCGACAUGGGCAUGAAAGGGGGAGAGCGCAUCAGGCGCAAGGUGUAUAUAUGAGACUAUCAUCUAUAUAUAGUUCUGUGGUGAUGGAUGCCAUGGCUUGGCAUCUUUAUAUAUAGAAUAAAUCUCGGGCUUAUCUGCUGUAUAUCCAUAUGAAUAAUACUAUACUUCUCUAGUACUCAAGCUAUAGCUCUAUACUUUAGCCUACUACAUUCACUCUUGAUAUCUUUAGUACGCGCGUGUUUUCAGGUAAAUUUUUUGAGAAUACUACCCAACUCUUUCCCCCUUCAUUUUGAUAAUAUAAUCGGGAAAGAAGUAGGCUAGUCUCCGCUUUGAAUCCUAAAUAUAUUGGUGCAAGAUCGACCGAUGGCAUUCUAAAAUGUUGAUCCAAGCCACUGAUAAUGAUAUAUAUAACAUGUAAGACAUCCGCAAGAAUCAAGUAUUUUGUAAGUUAUCUAUCUAUUAUGCAUCAAGGGGAUGCAAAUGGACGGCAUGAGUAGUGCUAAUGUGUUAAAAUGCAUGAUAGGGUGUGAGAAAAAUUUUGAAUCCAGUCCAUCGAUUAUGAUCGCUCCAUAGAAAGCAUAUGUCAAAUAAAGUUCAAUAUGUUUGAGCACUUCUAAGUCAUAUGUAAACAUGAACUAGAUCGAACAACAUGUAUGAUGAAACCUUUUUGUUUUUGAAGAUUGUUUAUAAAAGGUUUUUGAGCUUUUGGAAGCAAAGUUUAUAGCUUUCAUAAAAAGAGUGAAAAUAAAAUCAAGGAAUAGUAAAAGUUUUGUGCAGAUGCUACCUCGGACAUCAAUCUGCAUGUAGGAAUAGCCAAAUAGGACCUGCAACUCUGUUUCCUAGGGGAAAAAAAAAAAAGCUGAGAUUUUAGGGACGGUUGCAAAAUGUUGCAGUUCCCGUUUUCUUCAGAUUUUCUAAAGCUGGAACUUUCUCGGUUUUGUUACUUCAAGUUCCUUUCUGAGAACUCAGAAAUUCUAACAUAUUUCUGUAGCAAUUUCCGAAGCUGUUUUAAUGAAGCUGUAACUACUACCUAUCAUUAUGGUUUUUAACUUACAGGCUUGAAGCAUAACGCGCUCCCAGUUGCACCCCUAUUUUAAGUGUCUUUGGAGCAUUUUUCAAGACAAAACGAGAACAUAGGAUAAUUUUUGGCCCAGAUCUUGCCACAUAUCGCCGCAAGUGUUGGCUGAUUCUCCUUCUUGAUUAAAGCAGACAAUGCCAGUGAUCAAACACAACAUAAGUUCACGUAUAUAAGCAAUUCACUAAGAUCUACACCAAAGAGGUGCAGUGGCAAAGAAGCAACCAACUCAGAGAACCUUUGGAAGAAGGCUUAGCCCAAAGAAGGCACAAACUUUGCCCUCCCCUGAGGCCAUCCUUUCAGAUCCCUCGGUUCCCACCACCUUCUCUCUCCCUCUCUCCUGCGGACGUGCCGGUGCUGCAGCGCAGAGAGAGACCCUGCAUCAAUGCCAUGCGGAUUCGUGCAAAGCAAACUAACGUUCCCCAUGCCAAAAGCGGAUUACUCUACUGCCUCUAUAUAUAGAUCUCUUGCUUUCUUCUCAGCUCGCCACUCUUUCUUCCACCGAUUCUUCCAGAAUUAAUAUUAGAGCCAUGGCUGUCUUCCGUCGAGCCUAUUUGUUUCGAGAUAUCUUCCGUUGAUGAGUGACUUGCUCGUCUUUCAUGGUCACUUGACGACGUUGGUGCCCUGAAGUCGCGCCAAUGGCAACCUCGCGUUGACGUGGGGGGAAUUAAGCUCGUUUCUAUGGGUGCUCUUCUUGCUUUAUUUUCCGCUUUCUGCUCUCUAACGUAUGGGAAUUGAUUUGUGUGAGGUUGGAAGGGGAUCCAAGUGUAUGGUGAUAUAAUAGCAGCCUUAAAUAUCAGCUUUUUGCUAUUCUAAUAUUGGGUUCGGGUUGUAUCUUCCGUGGGAAAGAAUGAUUCAUCUUUUUUUUCCACGAGGUCAACCAUUGGAUUGUGCAACGGCCACUUUAAGAUCUGUGCAGGUGGAUGAAAAAAAAAAGAGUUUGGUGUGCUUUGGAUCAUUCUUUCACGUGAAAGAUACAACCUAGAUCCUUUGAUAUAUGCACAUUUCCGAAGUGGUCAAAGUGUUUACCAUAAAGAAGAUUGGAGUCUUGAGUGCUCAAAAGAUGUUCGUAGCUAUAAGUGAGGUUGCAUAUUGCACCUAUAAGACUUAUUGAAUGUAUAGUGAUUGUAUGGAGUUCCUCCUCCACCAAGAUGGUCAUGACCUCGCAUUAAGAAUUGGCUGUGUUGUUAUAUUGAAUAAUCAAUAUUAACAAUCCACUUUAAAAAUCAUUGUCAAGGAUAGAGAUGCGAACUUGGUUGAAAUAGCUUAUAAGUGGUCCCUUAACUUGAAAUAAUAGAAUACCUUACUACAAUUUUGUGACAAAAUCCAUGUAUUAAUAAUGAUACCCUUGAUAAGAGGCAUAGUGGUUUAUUGGAUUCAGAUACAAAUAAGGGUCUAGUUGUCCAACAUGAAAUCAACCAUAUGUUACAAUGUUAAUAUUAAAACAUAGAGAUGGUCAGACAUAUGAGACCCACAACCCAGCUAAUUACUUAAAGUUUUAAAAAUAAUUAUUUUGGAAAAAAAUAUUAUUAAGAACAAUGGUAAAUUAUUUUCAAAAGGUUUCAUGUGCAUUGAAAUCCAAUCCAAUCCACCACCAUAAGCUCUCUCACGCGCGCAUAUAUAUAUAUAUAUAUAUAUAUAUAUUCGUUAUAUAUAUAUAUAUAUAUAUAUAUAUAUUCGAAUUUGCCCCUCUUGGUUUCAAGUUAGCAUGUUUUAUAGAAUGGCAAUUUUAGAUGAAGUUUGGUCUAGGACCUCUAGGUAUAGAUGUGUAGGAAUAGAUUUGCACAAUUUGAUGAGUCGGUGAAUAUUUUGGUGUAAUUUGACAUAUUCAAUAUUCUAUUUUGCAUGGUUGCAAUUUUCUGUUUUCAAUUUUCCUUAAAAACUAAAGAAAUUGCCACGGGAAUGGUGUUUGAUAAUCUAUUUUCUUUUUUAGUUUUUUUGAAAACUUUUUCUUAGUUUCUAAAAAUUUAUGCAAGUUUAAAAUUUUGUUUCCAAAAUUUCUAAAAAUCAAACCACUCAUGAUCCUCCACCAUCAUCUUUGUUGCUAUUGCCUCUGUCACCACCUAUCAACCACUAUCCUCUCGCCAACCACAAUCAUCUCCACUAUCACUGCAAUCAGCAUUGCUAACAUUGCUGCCAAAUGCAUUCCAUGCAACCAUUAGAUGUUAGGUUUUUGAUUGAAGGAGGCUUGUUUGAGGAAUCUCUUUUAGAGAUGUAACGUGAAAGAUAAAUGGAGAAUCGACCUUGCGACCUAGAGAGGGGAAUUUCAAAAAAUUCGAUGAAAAGAGAGAAAAAGAAGGGAAUAUAUAUUUGUGGUGUGGUUAACUAAGCUGAUUGAUAUUGAUGGUAUUCGAAUUUGAUAAGACAAGGAUUAGAAUUCUUUCAUAUGAAGUAUGCGAAUGAAGAACUGGUGGUCUAGAUCAUUGAGGAAUGAGAAUAAGAAAGCGAGCAAUGAAGAUAGGAGGUGGGUCCUAAAAUUUAAAGGGGCAAGGAGGCUGCACUGGAACUAUUUGGAAAUCCCAAGAACAUUUAAUUUCUCAGGAUGGCCAUGGCCCUUGCCCCCUCCCCUGCCGGUUCCAGCAUUCACAAACUGAUGCAUUCUUUUAGUCUUCUAAAUCUACUUCAUAUAGUUUCUAGGAGCUUGGGUUGUCUCUAUGGUUCAUAAACCUUACAAGAAUGUUUACCUUCUGAUGUCAGCAUAUGAUAUAUAACGAUGACAAGUGCCUCUACCUGUGGGUCGAUGAAGAAUGGUAUGAUCAAUUCAGGUUUCCAAGCACAGAAGAACGGUACAAAGAUAGCAGCAGCAAGACAUUCAAACAUUGUUGAUCUCAGAAAACCAUGUUGCCCAUGCUGUAACGCAGCACUGGUUUGUAAGCUAGGAAAUGAUCAAGGAAUAGGAUGGACUCCAAUGGACACAGGCCUAUGUGAACUUGGAGAGGAGCACUGUACUAGUAAAGUGAAUGCAACUCAGCUAUGGUGCUCAUAUUCUGCCCCUAUGUAAAUUUCAAACUUCUCUCUUUUUCUUCUUGGGAAAUAUCGAACCUAUUCAACCAUCUGAUGGUGAUUACAAACAUUUUAAACUAACUUUUUCCAGAGCAAUUCCAAACGGUGGAGAAAUUGUUUGCAUAUGAUGAGGUAUGGGAUCACAAAGUAAUAUAAUUAUUGUCGAGUAUAUCUUUGAGUUUACGGGCUCUAGAAAGGCAAAAAAAAUCUUUUCCCCCAUGAGAGAAGCAAGUGGUGCAGAGUGCAAAGAGCGAAGCAAGCAUUAGCAUCCUUGUUUUAUUUGGGCCGCACAGGAUGAGAUAAAUUUAUUUAUAUAUUGUUCUAGAAACCGACAUUAGCAUCAGUGGGUGCUUCCAAUACCACCCAAAGCUACUGCAUCAAGGUUCAAAUUCAUGCAAUAACACUAGCCGCCUGACGCAGACAGAAGUUAGAGGAUUAGAUGCGCUUCUUAUCUUUUUUCUUUUUUUUUGGUACAGAUGCACUUCUUAUCUUCAAGGAAUAAAUAUCAUAAGGCUUGGUCUAUAAAAAGGAGGAGCCAAGGAGCUCAGAAACCAGACCAGCCUCAGCUCUUCUAAAACUCCAGGUAGACAGUGUCCAACAUGAGCUGCACCUACGAGUCGAAAAUGGAGAAGACAAGCAUGACUGAAGGGCCUCACUCCCCUCAGCUUCACACUGUGAUCAAGCACAAGGAGGUCCAUGAGGAAGAGGAGAAGCCACGCCACGGAAUCUUCGGCCGGCCAAGGAACAAGGAGUGGUCUGAAGAGGAGACCUAUGAAAUCUCUGAGACAACCUACGCAGGCGACAUGGGCAUGCAAGGAGGAGAGUGCAUCAGGCGCAAGGAGUAUAUAUGAGACCAUACAUCAAGGCAGCUUGAGAGCAUCAUCUAUCUAUAGUUCUGUGAUGAUGGAUGCCAUGGCUUGGCAUCUUUAUAUAUAGAAUAAAUCUCUGGCUUAUCUACUGUAUAUCCAUAUGAAUAAUACUAUACUUCUCUAGUACUCAAGGUAUAGCUCUAUACUUUAGCCUACUACAUUCACUCUUGAUAUCUUUAGUACGCGCGUGUUUUCAGGUAGAUUUUUUGAGAAUACUACACCAACUCUUUCCCCCUUCAUUUUGAUAAUAUAAUCGGGAAAGAAGUAGGCUAGUCUCCGCUUUGAAUCCUAAAUAUAUUGGUGCAAGAUCGACCGAUGGCAUUCUAAAAUGUUGAUCCAAGCCACUGAUAAUGAUAUAUAUAACAUGCAAGACAUCCGCAAGAAUCAAGUAUUUUGUAAGUUUUCUAUCUAUUAUGCAUCAAGAGGAUGCAACUGGACGGCAUGAGUAGUGCUAAUGUGUUAAAAUGCAUGAUAGGGUGUGAGAAAAAUUUUGAAUCCAGUCCGUCGAUUAUGAUCGCUCCAUAGAAAGCAUAUGUGAAAUAAAGUUCAAUAUGUUUGCUUCUAAGUCACAUGAAAACAUGAACUCGAUCCAACAACAUGUGUGAUGAAACCUUUUUGUUUUUGAAGAUUGUUUGUAAAAGUUUUUGAGCUUUUGGAAGCAAAGUUUAUAGCUUUCAUAGAAGGAGUGAAAAUAAAGCAAGGAAUAGAAAAAGUUUUGUACAGAUGCCACCUUGGACAUCAAUCUGCAUGUGGUAUUUCACUAAUAUAGGAAUAGCAUUGAUAUCCUUGAUAAGGGGCAUAGUGGUUUAUUGGAUACAGAUACAAAUAAGGAUCUAGUUGUCCAACAUGGAAUCUACCAUAUGUUACUAUGUCGAUAUUAAAACAUAGAGAUGGUCAGACACAUGAGACCCAGAGCCCAGCUAAUUACAUAAAGUUUUAAAAACAAGUAUUUUGGAAAAAUUAUUAUUAAAGGCAAUGAUUAAUUAUUUUUAAAAGGUUUCAUGUGAAUUGAAGUCCAAUCUAGUCCACCUGCAUAAGAGCAUAUAUAUAUNNNNNNNNNNNNNNNNNNNNNNNNNNNNNNNNNNNNNNNNNNNNNNNNNNNNNNNNNNNNNNNNNNNNNNNNNNNNNNNNNNNNNNNNNNNNNNNNNNNNNNNNNNNNNNNNNNNNNNNNNNNNNNNNNNNNNNNNNNNNNAUAUAGAUGUGUAGGAAUAGAUUUGCACACCUUGAUGAGUCGGUGAAUAUUUUGGUGUAAUUUGAUAUAUUCAAUAUUCUAUUUCGCAUGGUCGCAAUUUUUUGUGUCAAUUUUUCUUAAAAAAUAAAGAAAUUGACAUAAGAAUGGUGUUUGUUGAUCUAAUUUCUAUUUUUAGUUUUUUUGAAAACUUUUUCUUAGUUUCUAAAAAUUUGUACAACUCUAAAAUUUGGUUUCCAAAAUUUCUAAAAAUCAAACCACUCAUGCCCCUCCACCAUCAUCAUUGUCGCUAUUGCCACAAACACCUUCGAUGUCACCCAUCAACCACCAUCCUCUCGCCAACCACAAUCAUCUUUAUUAUCACAUCAAUCGACAUUUCAAAUGCAAUCCAUGUAACCAUUAGACGUCAGGUUUUUGAUUUUCAAAAAAAAUAUUUUUAAUUUUUGAAAAACUAUAAGUUGGAAGUUGUUUCAAACAUUAUUAGAAAGCAAUGAAGUCUAGCAUCACAUAAUAUUUUCUAAAAACUUUUAAUUCCAAAACGACAACCAUGUACUUAGUUUCUAACAUGCAUCACAUGUGCCCAAUGCUAGCUAGAUUUGAAGCAAAUGAUGAUUCCUUUUCUAGAAGUGGUAAUAGCAUCACAUGUGCCCAAUGCUAGCUAGAUUUGAAGCAAACGACGAUUCCCUUUCUAGAAGUGGUAAUAGCGUGGCCGGUUGAAAUUAUCAUGUUUAGUUAAUCGAUUCCCAGAUUCAAAUUACAUCUAAUAACAUAAGACCCAAACUAGAUUUACAAACCUAGCCCAUAUCCAAACUAGUGCCUAAUUAAUUUCGUGCCUAGGGUGAAGAGCCAAGUGCCUAGGUGAAGGGCUCUUGUUUCACAUGAGUAUUUAUCUAUGUUGUAUGUUUAUCUAUCAUUGAUUUAAGCAUACAAAUAUUCAAUCUACAUUAAAAUUAAGAAAAGAGAGCAUUCAAACUUAUGAUUUCUAUAUAAGCACCCAUAAGUUGUUCCUCUUUAGCAAUUAUGUCGCAUUGCAAGCUUGUCAUCUUUCUACAAAAAUAUAUUAUUUAGAUGAAAACAUCCUAGAAUAUCUUCUUAUUAGGAGGCUGCUCUUCUAAAUUCCUUAAUACAUUAUAAAAUUUCACCUUUAUGUAAGUCUGAAAUAUGUUAAGGUUGGCAAAAGGAAAGCCUGAAAGAGGCAGUGAGUCAAUGAGGAGUCGUUGACCCAAAGAACUUUUUCAUGUUUAUUCCCACCCCCGCUAGGGUUUCGUUAAAUUGGUUCGCCCGCAAACCCUAGCUCCGAAAUCCUUCCCUCAACCCCUCCCAUCCCAUGCGCUGUUCUUGAAAUCCCCCCAAUCGUAAGACAGCAGCAGCUCAAACUCCAACCAACAAUGGCGAGACGAGGCCUCCUCCUUCUCCGGCAAUUCCUCCGCGACUCGGCCGCCGCGUCCUCCUCCCCUCUGCCACUGAGAGCCCUCGCCUCCGCCGAGAGCCGGCGGUCGGUGACCUACAUGCCCCGCCCCGGGGACGGGGCGCCGCGGGCGGUGACCCUGAUCCCCGGCGACGGGAUCGGCCCUCUCGUCACCGGCGCCGUCCGGCAGGUCAUGGAGGCGAUGCACGCCCCGGUCUACUUCGAGACCUACGAGGUCCACGGCGCAAUGGACACCGUCCCGUCGGAGGUCAUCGAGUCCAUACGGAAGAACAAGGUCUGCCUCAAGGGCGGCCUCGCUACCCCCGUCGGCGGUGGGGUCAGCUCCCUCAACGUCCAGCUCCGAAAGGAGCUCGAUCUCUACGCGUCCCUCGUCAAUUGCUUCAACCUCCCCGGCCUCCCCACAAGGCACCAGAACGUCGACAUCGUGGUCAUCAGGGAAAAUACGGAGGGGGAGUACUCGGGGUUGGAGCAUGAGGUGGUUCCCGGUGUUGUCGAAAGCCUCAAGGUAUAAUCUUUACUCUGUCUUGCCUGCCGCCACUUGGAUCUCCGUAUUGAGGAACAUAUGCAUUGGCAAAUGUAAUCUCUUUCGCACUUGAUUACGAUUUGGGUCAAUAUACUUUAUAGGUUUGGUUUUAGCUAUAUGGUUAUGUGUAACUGAUGAGGGUGAGAGAGUGCUAGGUAUAUAGGAAGAAUUGUAGGGGAAGUAAAGGUUUUGAUCUUUCGCAAGAGGAUUGAUAAUUUUAUGUUUAUGUUAAGGCAUUCUGUAAAGGAGAUGACAAGGAAAGUAGAAAAAGGAUGUUAGAAAGAUGUCCGAUUUGAAGCACGCGGUUAGGACAAAAAUUUGAUCAUCAAAUUCAGCUUCAAAUUGUGCAUUUGAGAGACUGAUGAUUUUUCGUGAUCCUUUAUGUCAAUAUUUGCUUUUUAUGCCAUGCUGGAGUAAGGACUCAAUCAAGAAAGACCAAUUCUUGGCAACAGGACCUCGGUCUGCUCGUUGGAACACACGCACAUACAGAGAGAGAGAAAGGAAGGGAGGGAACGAAAAUUACAAGUCAUUGUCGGAGGGGAGGACUCUGUGACAGUGGAAUCUGAGAGGCAUUAAUGAUACUUUGAUAAGAGUACCUCAAAAAAGAUAGCAAAGAGAGAACUAUGGAUAUUGAGAGAAGUUGUAGUGGAGGAGGCAUCCUCCCCUCCACAGUCAUGUAGCCUAAAAUUAUAUGGAGAUAGGUUAUAAAGGUGUGAAAUAAUAAUUGCUGGUGCAUUAAAAUUGAGGAGGGUGAGUUGGAGAAGAGAUAUGGUUGUCUUAAGUGUUCUUUUGUUGUUAGCAUGAAGGAGCCCCUACUUGGAGGGAUGGAUAUUGAUUAUGGAUAUACAAGUGAUAUUGGGUAUACUGGGACAUUGAGCAUUCUAAGAUGAUGAUUACUUUGUAAAUCACAAUGUAUUAAAAAGCGGAUGGCAAGCAUGUAGCUGUCGGGUGUUUCGUGGUGGAUAGCAGAUAGUGGACACUAUUGUAGGCACCAUGAACCAAAACAGGCCGCUAAAACAUGCCAAUAUUUUUCUUUCUAAGUACGAAAAAAGAUCAAUAUCUUAUGCCAUAACAGCAACAAUUUCCCAUAAUUCCUUGCUAUUAUAGCAAUAGCAUCAGGGGAAGAGUCAAAUCCUUUUUAUUUGUGUGCCAUAACAGCAAGGAACAGGGGAAUGCGAUUGAAAUAACAGCCAGAGGCCCAGAAAUCUACUUUUUUGCUGCUUAGAUUGGAAGUAAACAAAAAAUAGGGAAGAAGAAAACAAGAAGGGAAAGGAGGAUGGAGCAAACAGAAAAAUAGAGGUACAACAUGCCUCUACUUCUGCCAUACUGCCACCACCUUCCUUUACAUCCUUUUUAUCUGGGUCUUAUUGUUUAGUUGUUGCCACACUUGUGAUUACCUCAUCACGUUCUCCUCCAUUCUCAUCUAUUCCUUUCCCUAAUAGCUUUACCUUUCCCUUCAUUGCAAAGGCCAUUUCCACCCUUAGCUGUGCCUCCUAAGGUGUCUAGAUUCACUAUGAGGUGUUGAGAUGUGAAUUCUAAUCCAACAUUUACAUGGCAAGGGCUCUCCAUAGAUUUCAUUCUUCUUUUCUAGACAUUGGAUCUGCUCAACAGCUCUUCUAUUUGAGUUCUGAGACAUUGUGUUAAUCUUGUGAAAAAUGACAAUUAAUUGGUAUGUAAAGUCUGAGGUGAGAGAAAUGAUGUAUUUUGAAGUGUGAUUGCACUUGGGUAUGCUAGGAAGGCUUAGUAGAAUGUUGGGCAUCUUUGUUUAACAGAAUGCUGGUCGUGAGGAAUAUUAUGACCUGGAAUUUGAUGGUGUUGAGGUUCACGAGGCAUGGGUUGUUGCCACUAGGAGGGAAGCUGUUUGAUGACAUACUAGUGAAGAUCAUGUUGUUGUGAAAUUUGAUGGUUUCAGGGUCUGGUUGGAACGGGAGAUGGACUAAGGGAAUUGUCUGAUCAAUGCUUGAGACAGAUGUCAUUUUUUGGAGCUGCAUCAUUUCUUGUUAUGCACAAAUUAACUGAUAUACAAAGGUGCAGAGUUCUUCAAACAGAUUUAUUAUAGAUUAGUGUAGAGUCUGUAGACCCAAUGGAGCCACAAUGGCAGUGUGCUCUUGGCUUGUGCACAACUUGCAGACUCGGAUCAAGGGAAACGAGUUCAUGCUUACAUUAAUAAGAAAUGUUUGGCUUUAGAUGAUGACAAUAAUACUGGGGCUUAUCGAUAUGUUUGCCAGGGAACUGUAGGUCUUAAAAAUGUGCAGUUGGAGAGUAUUGUGAAGCCCGAUGAAGUCACUGUGGUUAUUGUGCACUUGAUGAGUGUAAAGCCUUGUAUCGAGGGAAAUGGGCCCAUGUUUACAUCAACAAGAACCGGAUGAGUUUAGAUGAUGACAGUAAUUUUGUGGCUGUGUUGAUCAAUAUGUAUGCCAACGCAUUGUAGCUCUUCAACUUAUGCAGUUGCAGAGUCGUGUAAAGCCCAAUGAAGUCACAGUGUUGAGUGUGUUCCUCUUGUCUUGUGGACGGCUGGCAAACUUGGGUCAAGGAAAACAGAUCCAUGCUUACAUAAACAAGAACUUGAUGACUUUGAUGAAAAUAAUCUUUGGGGCUAUGUUGAUUAAUUUGUGUGCCAUGUUGAAGCAUAAAGACUGCUUAAUCUUUUCCAUGAAUUCAACAAGAACUUGAUGACUUUGGUGAAAAUAAUCAUCAGGGCUAUGUUGAUUAAUUUGUAUGCCAUGUUGAAGCAUGGAGACUGCUUAAUCUUUUCCAUGAAUUGGGUUGAAAGAAUGUUUCUAGCUCAAACUCCCUGAUCAUAGAAUUGGCAAUCAAUGGGCAAGCUUACAAUGUUCUUGAUGUCUUUCAGCAGAUGUAGGCAUUAGGGGAGGAACGAAAUGACAUAACCUCUUUGGGGAUAUUAAUAGCCUGUCUUCAUGGUGGAUUGGUUCAUGAGGGGGUAGAUACUUUGACAGGUUUUAUGGGAUUCAUGCCAAGAUGAGGUAUUAUGGUGGCAUAGUUGAUCUCUUAGACCAAGUUGGGCUGUUGGAAGAGGCAGAAGGGAUCAGCAGAAGCAUGUCGAUGAAACCAGACAUGAUGGUUUUGGGUGCCUUGCUCAAUGCCUAGGAUUCACAGAGACGUGAUUGUUGCAGAUAAAGUAAGAAGUGAAAUUCUUAAAUUGAAGGCUCACCAAUCUGGUUGCCAUGUUUUAGUCUAAUAUCCAUGCCUCUAGGGUUAGAUGGCAUGAUGCUUAGGAGAUGAGUAUCCUUUGUGACUUUUGGGUGCUUAUUUCGAGUGUUUUGGUGCUAAAAAGCCGCAUCUAAAGCCAUCUGACUGUUGCAGUGGUUUUUGUAGGGGGUAAUUCUGCAAAAAAAAAACUUUCUGCUAUACCAAUUGAAUGUUGGAGAAUUUGGAGGCAAUUCAUGCAGAGGAGUAUUCAAGUCAUUUACGCUUGAAGGGCGACCUUUUGAUGUUUGCAUGAGGCAGAAAUCUAAUUGCAGUGGUAGCACUACAAAAGAGUAUAAUGUGAGGGGUGUAUAUGCAGAAAACCCUAAUAGAUAUUGCUAGGUCCUAUAAUUUAUUCUGUAUCAAACAUCAAGCACCAUAUGCUACCAUCAUGGCAAGAAGAUACGUUGUAUCUUAACGCUUCAUCACAUGUAAUUUAUGCCAAAUAUUUGUAUACAUAAUUACAGCUUAAUAUACAUGACUUAGAUCAAUACACUUAUAUAUUGCAAAAAUCAAUAGACAUAUUAUAUAAAUGCCAUGUAUUUAAUUGCCACUCACUUUUGUUGCUAAAUUGGAUUAAUUCAGUGUUUGACAAUUUCAGUUUCAGUUGAUAAAAGAAUAUUUCUUGUGACCUAGUAAACAUGACAACAUUACGUGGGCCAUUUUUCUGGAUUGUUUGACAUGCAGUAACAUUUUCUUCUUUGCCAGUUUGUUGUGCCCUGUAAUUUUGUUUCUUGUUUUUUCCCCUAACCAGAAACCUUUCCAGGUGAUGACAAAGUUCUGUUCAGAGCGCAUUGCAAAAUAUGCUUUCGAGUAUGCAUACCUGAACAAUCGGAAGAAAGUUACAGCUGUGCAUAAGGCCAAUAUUAUGAAGCUUGCAGAUGGUCUAUUCUUAGAAUCUUGUCGUGAGGUUGCAACAAAAUACCCAGUGAUAAAGUACGAUGAAAUCAUUGUGGACAACUGUUGUAUGCAGCUGGUGUCGAAGCCUGAGCAGUUUGAUGUCAUGGUACUUUUCUCUAUCUUUUUUCAACAUUUACAGUGCAGAUGUUUAUUUUUCUAGUCAUCUUAUUGGUUGGCCUGAUUGUUCUAUCCGUUAAUUGCUUAUGUCAAUGGUCUCUUUUAUCUCAAUGUUGAUAGAUUUAAAGAUAUGCAGUAUAUAACGUUUGAGUUGUACUGCAUCAUAUAAUUCUUUAUCUCACUAUCAUUUGCUGUAUAGUUAUUUUCUGCAUCUAUGGAAUCUUUAUUGGAUCCUUUGAUUAAUCUGAUAUUACAUUAGGUACUUGAUGAUGGAAACAUUUGAAUUGUAUUUAAGUGAUUUAUUAAAUUUCUUGACCUGUAUUUAUAAAUGAAUCCAUCUUUUAUGCAAUCAUGCGAUAACCAUUGUAUCUAAUGAUGAUAGAUUUCGGACUACUAUAUCAGGAACUUUUGAAGAAGCACAUGGACAAUGUCAAAAUGGAUAACAGCAAGACAGCUGAAAAAGUUUAUACUCUUUUAAGUCUCGAACAUAUUACCAGGAAAAGAUUGUUGCUUGAAUUCAUUAGUUUUAGAGCCUCUAUGCAGGUUAGAGGGCUAUGUUUUGUGGCAGAAUGGACAUUGCUUGGUUGUACAAAAUGGCCUUCUGGGUUUGUAGAUAGGUUUUAUGAACCGUCAUUUUUCCAAAGUGGGUUUAUCAAAAGCGACCAAACAAGUUUUUUUCUACAUCAUUAUUCUAAAGGUUUUAUACAAAUCCAUUUUCUUAAAACUUGGCACCAAACAGUCCAUUGGAGAUUGGAACAGAACCGGCAACUCUAUUAUGGAAAAUUAUAUAAUUUGAUUAGGUUCAAGUUACACCUGAUGUAGUUCUACAAGAGUUACACCUUUUUUGAAUUGAACAAUGGGGGUCACACAUUGAUUAUCCAAGCUAUUAGAUGUGAUUUACUACUUCUAAACUACUUACACAUCAAAAAUCAUAUAAUCUGGAGAUCUCUAGGCUAUGCAUCAAGUGGUCAAAAAUUUGCAAUUUAGAGAACACAAUAGUACAUAUUUUUUGACUACUUGAUACAUAAAUUAGAGGUCUCUUAAUCACAUAAUUUUUGGUAUGUAAGUAUUUUAUAGAUAGUAGAUAAUAUUCAAUGGUUUGGAUCAUCAAUGUGGAUACUCAUUGUUCAUUUUUUUCAGAAAAAGGUGUAACUCAAUGAGAGUUAUACCAGAUUUAACUUGAUCUUUUGUAAUUUAAUGGAAAGUAAAAUGGUUUUAAACUACUCCUUUGGGGUUAGAAUAAAGUUAAAUGGUACUGAACUACUCCUUUGGGUUUAGAAUCAUAUGAACUGCUUAUUACUGGUUCGUUUUAUGUCCCACUUGAUGCAAAGCCAACAAACCUACAAUACAUGGCUAAGUUUCAAUUAAAAGAAUAACAUGAACAAGUGCAAGUGGUUUAAAUGGCAUGAAAUCAGUAGAGAUAGUUCAUUUGAUUUGAAGCAAAGAAAACUCCAAAACAUCUCAUCAUUGGUUCUAGACAUUUUAAAUGCAGUAGAUAAUACCAAAAAAAUGCAGUAGAUCAUGGUUAGCCUAUUACUUAUUUUGCAUUGCGUGGUUCGCCCCCAAAUCCCACUGCCAGGAUCCUCUCUCUCGCUCUGUGUGUGCGCGCGCGCACGCGCCUGUGCACAUUUAUUUCCAUCAACAUUUCAUUUCUUUGCUUGUAUCAUGCAUAUUUGUUCUUAUUCGCAGGUUACACCAAAUCUGUAUGGCAAUCUGGUGGCGAACACAGCUGCUGGUAUUGCUGGAGGCACCGGUGUAAUGCCAGGAGGUAACUAAUUCUCGAUAGACACUUAAAUGCAGUUUCAUUUUGGUCACUUGGAUUUGUCUUUAUUUUGUAGUAUGCUUAUUACUGCUUCCAGCACUAGGGAAUGGUCUGCACUGUUACCAUUUCCUUAUACAAGCACUACUUUUUGUUAACUUGUGUAUAAACAUAGGGCCUUGGGCUAUGCAUGAACCUAAAAAUCGUGAAGCCUUAUUGACUGCAAUUUUUAGACUGUCAUGCUGGCUGUGUGCAAAACAAAUUAUGCAAACAAUCAAAUAAUCUGUCGUCCUCUUCAUGUGCCAUAGCUGAAGGUCAGAAUGGGGGCGUUAAUGCAAUCACAUAAUAGACUUUAUAGAUUACUAGAGUCUUGCACAUGUGGUGAACGUGCACAAGCUUCUUUUUUUUCUUAGGGGAGGGUCGUCAGUGCUUGCAGGAAAACCUUUUUUUUUUCCUGAGAGGAUCAAGUAGGAAAAGAGGGGACUCUGAGAUGAGUAUUUAAUUUGUUGGGGGACUCUUAAGCUGCAGGCCUUCGUGAAGCUGGCCUGAAGGCUUUCCCAUUAUAGUAGAUACCAGUUCGCUUUGCUGAGUGCAGUAAUUGAUAUUAUUUUUUGGCUGGCUGUCAAUCAGCAUGUUUCUUUGAUGUUCUAUUUUGUUGUCUUGAGUUGUGUCAUGGUGCAUUGUAUGCUGGAAUCUGCUCCAUGCAUUUGAGUGGUUUUCGGGUGGGGCAUUGAAAUGCUUUCAAGCAGCUGCUGAGGAUGUAUUCUUUAAUUGACAUCAUAUUUCUUUACUGUCAACAACUUCACAUUUUUUAUUUCCCUUUUAUCUUUUGUCAGGCAACGCCGGUCAAGAUCAUGCAGUUUUUGAGCAAGGUGCUUCCGCUGGCAAUGUAGGAAACCAGAAGAUAGUGGAACUGAAGAAGGCAAAUCCAGUAGCUCUUCUUCUUUCCUCGGCAAUGAUGUUGAGGCAUCUCCAGUUCCCUUCAUUUGCUGACCGGCUAGAGACCGCUGUCAAGCGAGUAAUUUUGGAAGGCAAAUACAGGACCAAAGAUUUAGGAGGGGUUAGCACCACCCAAGAAGUUGUUGAUGCAGUCAUAGCAGCGCUGGACUGAUGAUCCUGAUCUUUUUGCCGAGUAUUGUUGCGGACAACAGAUCAUUUGCUUCUCCUAAAAUAUUAAUUUUGUUUUAUGACCUAAGUAACUUUGAUAUUUACAACUCCCACUAUGGCAACCUGAUUUCAGAAACAUGAUUCUUUUUCUUUAGAUGAUUCAAUUCUUGUCCAAUAUAGAUGUAUCUGGAUUUCAAGUUAUUUCAUGUAAAGUCAUAAAUUGGAAAUAAACAGGCAGAGGCAUUCUAAAUAAUAAUAAAUUUACUGUGUUAUCUCUCUGGCAGUUUGGCAGUUUGGGGGUCUACUAGUUGGACAAUGGAUGCUAUUUUGGCUUGCACGAGCUAAGAGUAACUAGAAGCUGGCAUUUUGAGUUUAUUGCAAUGCAAUUGAUUGGUCUAAUCCUUAGCUGAAAAUGCCAUUCCCAUGGCAUGAUACCAGGUACAGUUGUUUGUCUUUAAAAAGCGGUUAAAACAAGAGCCACACUGGUUUGGAGAGGGAGGGGAGAGGGAGGGAGCAUGGACUCUCAUGAGUACUUCCUGAGGACGAUGCACCGAGUGGAUGACCUAGGAGAGCUUUUGGAUCGGUUGGUGGGUGAUCGGCCGACCAUUGGAGCAAGCGAGAAAGGAAACUGAAUUUGGCAUGCGAUUGUAUAGGAUUGGAUUGCACACAAUCAGGCACAAGAAUCUGCAGUCAAAUUUUCAGCUGUAUCUGAGCUUUGAAAUUCUCAUUUCUUUCUAUGAGGGAAGUAAACUAAAUAAAAAACUUAAAAAGUUUUAGAAAAUUAUGAAUUGAUGAUUCCUUAACAAAUUCCUUGGUAUUUCAAAUCCAUACUGUUUGGUUCUCAAUCAUGUCAUAGCCGCCACCUCCUCCCACAUCUUCUCUUUCCCUCCUGCCAUUUUUUGUUCCCACUCUUUCUUCACUUCAUGUGUAUCACACACAUCUUUUGCCUGUCAGCCUUAAUGAUUGUGCAUGAAGUUUCCUGAAGUUACAUAAAUUUGGCCUUAAUAUUUGGAUGCCAUCCUCGAUCAAAACUUGUCAUUGAUUAUCGGAAUCUUUUCUAUGUUUCAUUAGCUCCCUUUGUUGCCUCUUGUGCUAAUGAAUUUUAUAUAAUUCUUUCUAAAAUAUUUUGAGGUUUCUUUAUAACUUAAGACCCAUAUUUUGCCAAUGAUUCUAUAGUUAGCUUGUCCCUGUCGUAGGUAAAUGGCAACCAAUGAAUGGCAAAAUUGAUCUUGGUGCUAUUAUAUUGUGUCUCUCAAUUAUUGAAAACAACCGAAGGUAGUGCAUGAAUUAAUUAGUUACAUUUUGUGCAACUUUUAUCAAUCAGUAAAUACACUGUUAUCCAUCCAAAGACUCUGCGAUAAAGCUCUCUGAAGAAUCCCAAUAAGGAUAACAGGUUAGGUUAACAUUGAAAGUUGAGGAAAGAAAGAGGAGUAUAAUAUAGUUAAAAAGGCAAUAAUAAGGAAGGUAGCAUUUAAUAGGAAAUUUAUGGAGAACUGAAAAUAUCUAUUUGCAAUGCUUAAAAAAUAUUUUAGUUUGAGAAUACACGAGCAUGGUUAACCUUAUCAAUAGCUGAAAUGUUUGAACUUCUAGUUGUCUGCUGUUCAUGUAUUAAGCUGAAAUGUUAUCCAUCAGUUUAUGGUCGAUAAUCCCUUCAAGCCUAGAAGUCCAUGCCACAUUGUGGCCAAGCUUUAUAGACACAACAGGGAUAUUUUCAUCGACUAGUCCUUUUCAAAAAUUAAAUGGAGAUGUUAGCCUGUUGAACUUCAUUAUAAAAAUUAUGUUCUCCAAGUUUAAACCUGAAUUUGAUUUCUAUAAAUAUAUCUAUUAUAAAUCAAUUCACAAUCAACAUUACAUAAGGCAAAUUUUAUCUCUUUGCUGUUUAUAAAUGAGUUAACAGGUGCUACUCUUUUCAUGAUUCGGCAAACACUACUGAUAAUGUUUUUGAUUCCACCCGUCAAAAAUGAAAUACUGAAAUAAAGAGACAAUGCAAGAAUGUAAAUUGUUUUUCAAAAGAAGGCUGUUAAGGAGUUCUUGAUAGAAAUGAAGCAUUUAUUAUAAUGAUCUUUUGAUUCUAAGCAGUUCUGAAACAAACUGAUGAUGACAAGCAGUUGAUUCCUCUUUACCACCUUCUCUGUGAGGCCUCCUGCUCGCCGAAACUCCUCUUUAGGAAAGAAGAAAUAACCAAGAAAUAAUAUCAUUUGUUUCCCAAAGAAACAUCAAUGUUUAUUUAGGGAGGCAUCAAUACUAUAUUACUACCAUGUUAGAAAGAUCUUAAAAUUAGAGUAAUUUUCUUACCAUGCGAUUCUUGAAAACCACAGGGGGAAAUAUAAACCCAAUUUGCUACCUGAUCUUCAUGACAUCCCUAUUGCUAACCAUAACUAAUUUUUUUGAACAGAAUAUUCUUCUUUCACUCAUCUUUUUUUAAAAUGACAAAGGAUAAUUUGAUAUUUAAACAAUUUUUGCUUCAUAAAAAAUGAAAAUGGAAAUACAGUUGAUCAGAACUCAUCCCUUAUUUCAUCCCUCUCAGCCAGCAACCGCCGCCCUAAAUCCGUCCUCUCAUGCUACAGCUCUAACAAAGGGCUUUUUUUUGGGAAAAAACCAACACUAAUAAAAAAUAUUUUUUUCAGAAACCUAAAAACAACCACCUCCAAAGUCCAAUAACUAUUCUAUUCUAUCAUUCAUAUGAGUUGAUGAUACCUAUGAAAAGGCUUAUGAGUAAGAUACCUCUAUUCUCUUCUCUUCCUCUAUUUUCUGUCUUCCAUCUCCAACUGGAAGCAAUCCAGCUUAAAUGGAUCAGUAGUACUACACGGUGAAAAAAAGAUAUGAUCUUUAAUGUAUCAUGCUGUAUGCAUGGUCACGUGUAAAUGAAGUAUAUAAUGCACUCCCUCCUUUACCAUGUACAUCAUACACAAGUUUUCAUAUAAAGCUACAUAAAGAGAUAAAAGAAAAGCAUUUUCAGUCUAUCUUUUGACUAGCAUAAUGGAAAUCGAAAAAUUCUUCCCAGGAAAAAAAAGAAAAAGAAAAAAACCUAAUCCCAAAGAUUAGUUAAUGGGAACCAAACCAUCAAUCAAACACCCUCUUUCCAUUCUACAAGUGCAUUAGCAAUCCAUAUCAUCAAUAAAUAGACAAAAAAAUCUCAUUCUGAUGUCAUCAGAUGUGGAACCAUUAUCAUCCAUCAUAUACACAUUCCCCUUCAAUCAUUUAUGUGAGUCAUAUAAGAGCUGAGCCCCAGCUUCUGCCUUUUUUCAACUGCCACUAUUAUAUUAACUACUUUUUGCCACAGUUGUCAUUUUGUAUUCCAUAUCUUUGAAAGAUGAGCACAAGAGGAGUGCUAUAGUGUAAAAAAAAAUCGCUUAUCUAAGCAUGUUAGAGUUUCGAAUCAUGAAAGUUUCAUCACAGCCAUCAAUCAUAUACACCUCUGCCUUGGACCAGUCACAUAUGCACAUUAACUGCCAGCAUUCUGAUGUACAAACACCACAAUAAUUAUAGUUAAUCCUACACCUACAUAUGUAUAAGGAAUCAAUCAAAAGAGCUGUUCUCCUUAUUUUUUGGGCAAGAAUCCAUCUCGGUUUAAGAAUUCACCCAAUUGAUUCAGAACCUGAAACCAUUACCAACGAAAAAGAAGGUGUUAGAAAGCGGCUUCGAAAGAAACUCUUAAAAGAAGAAGAAUGCUGCGAGCAAGCCUGUUAAGCUACGAUUGAGUCUAAGUCUUUCCAAAAAGGGUAACUUUAUUGAUAAGUUCCCAUAAUAAUACCUUUCUAAUCGAUAAUUUACAACAACUGAAACUGAAACUGAUGCCCACACCAAACGAGAUAACUCAGUUGGCUUAGGAUGUGUAUUAAUUGUAUAUAAUUGAUCAAGGCUGCUAUGAGGUAAGAUCUGUUAUUACUAAUGCUAUCACUACUGGAUGAAAGCAGCUAUCUUUAUGUGCAUUGUUCCUGGAUGCAUUGCUAGGCUUCAAUUAAUGUUUGCUAUCUAUAUCUUCCAAUCUAACAUUAUCUUCAUGAUCAUGGUCUACACAGAAAAUUGGAUCCCAUGAAGAUGAGGUUGUUAGCUGCCAAAAUUCAGUCUCUGGCCAUGAUUUCUAUCUUUGACCCCUAUUUUGUUUCAUUAUUAAUCAGAAAAAAAUAAUAUUUCUAAUAUCACAUCUCCAUACCAGCAAGCAGUGCCCAAGGUGAAUAACUGUUAUAACUUAUAACAGUCAAUAUUCUAUCCCAAAAUAAAAUUGACUCAUGACUGAGUGGCUAAACUGAUCAAGGAUGCCCAUUUUCUCCAUUAUAAUAGAAAAUUAAGGUUUCAAAGGUCAGUUCUAUUAUAUGGGAUAUCAGAUUUAUCCGAAACCUGUUUUUUCAAUUGAUUGUCGCCGUGACAACAAAUUUGUCUCAUAGAUGGUAAUCUAGCUAAACCACCUGCAAGGCAGCAGCUAGUCUGGGCUUUUUAUUGCCAAGGAAUGGGAAAAAACAUCAUCUCGCAGCUUUGCUUGAGACUAAACAAUUUGCUUCAUAAUUAGACUGCAAUUCACUCUCUUCAGUCGUCACAUUAUUUUGCAGCAGCUUUUAUAGACCCCAGUUCUUUUAGGUUGUGCUUCAUAAUGCUAUACUCUUCUAUGACACUGGACAGCUAAUAUUUUUUUCUCCGAACUGUUAUUGCACAAGGGAUAACGAGUCGUGCUAGAACCAUACAAGGAAAUACCAAUUUUAAGUCCGCUAACUCCAUACAAUUGCUUGAGAGAAAAAAAUAAGAAAAGCAAGAACAGGCAUAAUUAUAGGGCUUAAAAAUUAUGAUUAAGAUGAAAGUCAGCCACAGGACUACCAUAGACUUUGGCUAUUUAAAUGUCAAAAGUUGAACUUUCUUAUCUAUACAAGUUUUGGAUUUCAACGGUCAGCAGGUGGUGGAAAGAAUACAAAUCAUUUUGAACCAAAGCCAAACCACUUUGCCAAAAAGAAUUUGUUCUUCCCACGAGAAGCUAUUUCCUGUGCCUUCACUGGAGCAAGGGUAGGUGCUGGUGCUGGUGCUGGUGCUGGAGCUGGUGUUGGCUUUUGCUUUGCUGUACACAAAUUCAGUCAUACUCAAAUCAUCUAAAAAUUAAUGAUACUGAUGAUUUUGAAAUAUGGAUCAGUGAUUAACAUCAGGAUUUAGCAUAGACCAUAGUAUCCCACCAUAUUUGUCCAGGAAAAAAAAAUUGUAUAGGCAUAUGAUGCAAAUGGUUGAAUGAUGUUGCAUGCAAAGCAUGCUGAGAAGUUGAUAGAGAAGUAGAAGGAAAAAGAAUAAGUCAGAAAAAAGUAGGGGAGAAAUACGUGAAAUAUACUAGUAAAAGAAACUGAUUGAUUUGAAAUUACCCAAAUUUCAUACAAAGUUCGUCACUCUUGGUGGACCCUUUAUAAACAAUCGAAACACUCAAACCUAUAAUAUGCUGGUGAGAAGUUCAUAGAGAAGUCGAAGGAAAAAGAAUAAGCCAGAAAAAAAAGCAGGGGAGAAAUGCAUGAAAUCCACUAGUAAAAGAAACUGAUUACUUCAAAAAUAUUCAAAAUUCAUGCAAAGUUCAUCGCUCUUGGUGGACCCUUUAUAAACAGUCAAACCUAAAAUAUGUUUUCUGAUGACUUUCCCUAUGAUGAACCUAGGACUCCAAGUAACAGUUUAUUGACUUGAAAUAGCUCUGAUCAAUGUAAACAUGGAGUUAUAAGGAACAGAAGAUUGGAAUUUUAAGGAGCUGGCUGCCGGGCUGUGACCAAUUGAUUAUAUGGAGUAUAGAACAAGGAUCCAUCCUGAGCAGCAAAAUAUGGAUAGUUAGGAUUAUGGCAUCUCCAUGAGUGUAGCACGAUAGUAGUGCAAUAAAGAAAUCAAAGCAGCCUGAAAAGUUAAGGUUUCUUGUUUAAUUUGUAAUAUGGACAGAACAGUAUUAAGCCUUACACAACUAGGUCAUAGUGUUAUGACUAAGAUAAGACUCUUGGGAUCAAUCAUCAGUUUCCUAAGAGGGAAGGAGUGAAAAAGUUUGAAAGGCAUCAGCAUUCACUUGGCAGUUUGUCCCUUAGUGCAAAAAGGAGAAUAGGUAAGGUAUCCUGGCUAUACCAUUGUAUGUUUGUUCACUAUUUUGAAGGCAAAGUCUUGGCAUCACAGAGAAGCUUUAAGCUACUUCUUGUUUACCAGUAUUGGGCUGCAUUUAUAUAAGUUUCCAUGUGUGAUUCUCAAUGAUAUAACAAACCCAGAUUAAGUUCUAUUAAUCACAUUUGUACACCUUACUGGUAAUAUAUAUGGACAAAUCUAACUAACCCAAUGUUGAAAUAUGUUGUCAAAUACCGGUAAUCUCUGCACCUUACAAGACAAAAUCUUUUAAUCAUUAUUCUCCUGUAGGGGAUGGUAGUCUUACCUGUUGUUGGUAUAUUAACUUCUUGAGGAGAAAUGGAUGCUGACUUCGUUGUUGAGGUCCUUUGUUCACGAGAUUCUCCACUUCCAUAAUUAUCUAAAUUCACAAUGACAUAAAAUAUGUCUGCAUAAAUAUAAUGAAUUGGAAAUUGAAGAGAGUGUGAUCUAAAACUUGUAAAUUUAAAAGCUUAGCUUUUCAAAAGUACAGCACAGCAAACUUGGUAGAAGAAUUUUGUCAGCUCAAAGUCGUUUCACUAAAAAUCAGAGUCAAAGUUGUAUAGUGGGGUAUUAAACAAUGAGAUAGGAAUGGAAUAUUACAAAUUAAAUAAUGGAUAUAUGCUUUGAGUGCAGAUUUUUUAUAAAUUUUUUAUAUGAAUUCAGAGUUUUGGAAGUUAAACCUAUCACAUUUCUAAAAUAUUAAAAUUUAAAAGUAAUCCUGAACUAUAAUAGGACAGGAGAACCAUAGAGUAAAACAUUUCAGUGAUCUAAUAAACUAUGUUAACUUUCAUAACCUGAUGGAACAUAAGUUUUUGAAACAAUAUCUUUUAUAUUCCAUACUCUCAUUUUAGUUUCAUAACUUCCUUUCUCAUCUGAGUGUAUUGUAAAAAUCAUUAUGUCUCAAUAUAAUAUUGUGACGCAUGUGACAACCAAAAGAAGUGUCAAAAUUCCACUUUUCCUCCACAUAAAACUAAUCUUAAUCCAUCUAUAAUUAAAUGACUUCAGAAUAAUUUAUCAAGUGGAGAGGUCUAUCCAAAAUCAGAUUUAAUAGGUAAGACAAACUAGUUUAUAUAAUUAAUCAAACCAAAUCAUGUUGUAAGAUACAUAAAUAUAUUUCUCGCUCUUGUCACUACAAAAUAGUAUACUGGAGACUUGUUCCAUCCAUUCAAUGUUGAGGAAAUAUAAUAUUUGCAUAUUAACAUACUGGAGCAGCUGGGUCUCUUGACCCUUUUUUCCUAAUCCUCUACUAGUGCUGCUCCCUCUAUUGGAUUCUUUAACCCUACUGCUGUUGUCAAGGUGUGGUGGCACACUGGCAUGUUGUCGAAGAUUGAAGCACCAGCACGUUGGCAAAGUUCAGAUCUUGCAUGUACUUUUGGGUUUCCUUUGAUGGGUUAUAGGGUUUGGGGUUUUGCACAUGCCAUCAGAUGCCACUUCAGUUUCUAGGGUUCCGAGCAAUGCAGUGGUUUUUGUUACCAUGGGCAUGUAUGAUUCCAUGUCUCCAAAAUUUAUAAUAUCACACUUACGGGAAUAAAAAAGCAUACUGUUUACGUACUGAAAAAAAAACUGUUUCAUGGGAAAGGCAUAUUUCUAUGCCAGGCUGACAUGUAAGAACACACAUCAUCCAAUGCCACCAAGUACUCUCUCUCUCUCUCUCUGUGCCCCCUCCCCCCUUCCCUCCCUCCUCAUGGAUGGGUCAGAAUAGGGCCUAGUUUCAAGCAUUGAACUUAAGCAAUUAGUUCCAAUCUAGUUUGAAAUUUUUAAUCAAGAGUCAAGCUAUGUCUAUGGAUGUGCAGUAUAGUUUGUGAAAAGCCAUGCCCAAGCUAAGAGAAAUCCAACCUGAGCCUCACCAUUACCGGCAUUUUUUUCACCAUUAGUACAUUGUUCUACACAGAGAAAUGUUGGUUAAUUAUCUUUUUUGGUGGAAGUAACCUUGAGUUGUAAUACUCAUGUAAACAAGAGAAGGAAACUAUUUCACUCAUGAAGUUCAUGAAAGGACUAAGAUUCAAAGGUAAAAUAAUGGUCGCAAUGAUAGAAGGCAGACAGCUAUCUAAUAACUUGGAGAUUGCAUAUAAAAGGAGGUUGCUUGAUCCAAUUACAGACAAAAUCAUAUCAGUAGGUUAUGUUUGAUAAAGCUGAAGAGCACAAGGAUAAAGCUUACCCUCAUUAAAAGGCUUCCCAUAGUUUUGCCUCAAAGCUUCAAGAAAUGUACUUUCCCUAUGAUCUUGCAUCACUAGUUGAGAAACAGAAGACAAGAUGUUAUGCACUGGUGGAACAUGGAUGGUUCUGUAAUUACAUGUUGUGAUCUAAGUUAGAACAGAAGAGUACAUUGCUCAAAUAGUUCAUGUCUCUGGCUGGGAGCAGAGCCAACCAGAAGCAAUUGUACCGCCUCUGCAUCCUUAUUUGUAAAAAAUUUAGCAGCACUGUUCAGAUUUUGUGUAUCCAAAAGAAUACCUGCAAGCUGGAAACAGCAGAAUGCUUCAAAACAUAGGUGCAUAGAGAAGUCUUGAUAAUAAAGCCCGGCAACACAAAUAACAGUUAAAAGUUUCGAUACCAAAAGUUUUUUCAAAUUUGGUGUCUCAAGCAGAUCAUAGGCUUCUUCACAGUAAUUAUCUGUGAGAACUGUGCACAGUGAUCCCACCUGGAUGAACAACAUGAAACAUGCAUAAGAACUCAUCUCACCAUCCCAUGCUUGCUAAGCUUGAGAAUCGAAGAAUUACCUCGCUAUUAGUUUUCAGAACAUCUUGCCCGAUGACAAGUAUGCUUAAUUGUCUGGCCAGCAUUAGACCCUCCAGAUCCACCUGAUUCAAAUUAAGCAAAGAAGUCAACAAGUAUUAGAACUUUGUCCUGAAGAAAAGAAAAAGAAAAUUGUUAGAUCAUAUCUUCUUCACUGAUUCAAAAAGACCAAAGUAUUUCCAUGGAUAAGAAACUAAUGCUAAAACAGUACCAACUACCAAGAGAGCAUAAUACAGGCAAAAACCAAAGUUCUAAAACUUGAAUUUGCGGGCAUGAGAUUUUGCUUUGGCAUUUCUAUAGCUUUUAGCUUCAGUUUGACAAUUUUGACUGAAAACCAGGAAAGAAAUAACAACAUCAAUCAAUCGAGGGAAGGAUUCAGAUGUAAUAAAGAAUUAAAUAAAUACAUAAAUUUACACAUCAUUUUAGUGGUAUAUAAUUUUUCACAAGAAUAUAAUAUUGAAAAUCAUAUUUACAGUAUGAUAUACAUUUUACUGUUUGAUGGCAAUUUAACAUGAAAAAAUCUAAAUGCAAUUAAUAUUAGAGUCUAAAAUAGCCAAAAUUACAUAAAAACUUUGUUUUCCUUUAAAUCUCUUUAGAAUUGUCUCAAUACUCAAAUUUUCCCAAAGCUCAUGAAAUCCAAGUUUAACAUAGAGAAAUGCCUCCAGCAUCGAUACAAAUGAAAAACAAUGGAAGAAAAUCACAUAGACAGUACAUUUUUAGUAUUUUUUGAUAGCAAUCUAACAUAAGAGAAUCAUUUUUGAGAUCUAGAACCGGUAAAAGAGCAAAUUAUUGGCACAAGGGUGGGAUCUUGGCACCCUCCUAACAUAAGAUAAUCAAGAUGUUCAUGAGAAUUGAGAUUGGAAUAGCCAAAUUAUGUUGAAAACUUUAUUUUCCUUUAUCUCUUUGGAAUACCAUGUUGCAAUGCAUGUAAAUUAUCGAGAUUGAAAGGAAUGCCAAUUAGAAAAAUAAAUACCACAAACCAUUAUGUGUAUAAUGAAUUUGGGUAACUUAAGAUUUUAUAUAAUAAUAUAAUUAUGAAUACAAAAUAGCCUGCAAAAUAUGACUAGGAAGUAUCAAAAUAUUCAUAUAAAAUUAUGAAACCCAUCAUGUGCUUUAUUGAGUCUAAAUCUAAAGUGCAACUGAUAUUUUCUUUUGCAAUUCCUUCAUGCAUCGGUUCAAAGAGUCAAAGUAUUUCUAUUUCAUGAUACAAAGUAUUAAAAUAAAUUAAAUAAUAUCAAAGAAGUGAAGAGCACAAGAUAGAUGAUUUUUUGAAGUCAAACAACAGAUGUCUCAUUGCAGGGCAAAUAGUCAUAUUGCAGCAUAUCUUGCCAUUGCAUGUGCAUCUUUCAUAAUGUGCAUCUGUAUCUAAACUUGUUAUAUGCAAGUGUACUUCACAAAACCAACUGAAAGGCAUCACAACCACUUGCAUGUGUCUAAUGCUACUAAGAUUAAUUUAUAGGACUCGCAGCAUCCGCAAACACAACCUACUGAAUUGCAAUGAUGAAAACAAAAUUUAAGGAAGAAAUCAGCGUUGGGAGUUAAAGUGCUGACCAUGCCAAGGUGAUGCUUGGAAAGUACAGUGUCAUUGCUAAACUGUCAUGACUAUGUGCCAUCCAGUGUAUGCCUAACACUAGAAUGACAUGGCACCACAUGCUAUGCUAGUUCCAAGCCAGCAUGCACUGUAGCACACACUUAACACAGAUGAAUAGAAUGCCAUACCUCAUCAGAGAAGAGCAAGGCAGAUGCAUCAAUCCCCAAGUGAAAAAAGAGCCAGGCAGCUUGCUUUUGCUUGAGCAUCCUCCCUCUCUUCAUGCUCACCACUGGUGCCACCACUCCACUGCCACCCUGCUCCUUCUCCCUGUUCUCAAGUAGCCAUGCAUAGCAAAUGGCUGCCACCAUUGAACUUGUUGUGCCUGCUCAUAAGGUAAGACAUGUCAAAAAAAAAUUCUUUUUAAAAAUUACUUAUGCAAAAGAUCUAACCUUUUACUCUUUUUUAUCCUGAAAAGGGUUUCUAUUUUCGUUGUCUGCAGUAAUGGCUCAUUUGAACUUUAUUCUUUAAGGCAGAGCCUUCAUGGUUCCUAAAGUCCAUAAUGAACUGUUCCUUAAAAGUAAGAAAAGGAGAGUUUGCAUUAAAAAUCCAAUUCCUUCUUGAUUUUGUAAAAACUAUAUAUAUGAGAAUAUUGUGGGGCUAUGCUGCCCCUACCUCCAAAUGAAUGUAUCAUCAAGAGCACACCAUAAAUAUAUUACAGCAGUUGAUGUCAAUAUACUGGCAAUGAAUUCAAACAUGAUACAAUUUCUAAGAGCAGAGGUAUAAGGGUCAGUGAAGUUCUAUAGAUCUUUUCUCUUUUUAAAAACAAAUGCUUAGAAUUUUCUUUUUUUAUUAAACAUUGGUGAACCGCUCUUUUGAAACUGCUUUAAUUCCUCUUUCCUUAUAUUUCUUUCUUCUCUUUAUUUUUUUUAUUUGCCAUGUAUGUUCAUUUACUUGAUAAAAACGAUCACAUUGUCUUUUUUGGCAAAAAAAGAUAAAUUUUCUACAAAAUUCGGGAAAAAAAUGAAGGAAGUGUAAACAACCCAUCACUUCCCGGUGAGACGAUCCACACCGGGCGGUGAGGGGAGCAGCAGAAGGUGAAGUGGGUCUCGCAACUGUUUGAGGAUCCGGAGAGUAUGAUCUGGGCCUUGGCAGACAACUCCCCGCGAGAGAUCUUCGCGAUCAUGGCCCUCUGCCUCCUAAGGAACGCAUUCAGCUUCCCCACGUCCUCCUCCGCCACCGAUCGCCGCUCUCCGGCCUCCGAUCGCCGCUCGCUGGCCUCCGAUCGCCGCUCGCCGGCCUCCGACGAGUUGGAGACUGACCGCCUAUGGCCAAAACCGUCCACUCGGGAGACCUUGUCCAGCAAGCACGUGGACGCCGACACCGACCGCCGAUGAGCCGAUUCCACCAAAUUCCGGGGCGGCGACAGCAGGAGACCUUGCUCGUUCGGCUCCGCCGCAGCCGGUGGAGGGUUCCGGAAGGUCCGGCGGGGGAUGGCGGCGGGCUGGGGCUCCGGGGGCUUCUCAUGGAAGCGGGACUUGCGGCGGAGGGGCUGCUUCGAGAGGAGCACCGGGGGUGGGCGGCCGCGAGGGUCGUCGGAGUGGGGUUGGGGCUGGUGGUGGUCGGCGGCCGCGGAGGUGGGGGGUUCGACGAAGUUGGAGAACCAGUGAUGGGCGGCGGAGGCGGGCGAUUGGGGCUUGGAGGAGUCGGAGGAGCAGGCGAAGAUCUCGGAUUUGUUUCCGCUGUGGCGGGCCGAAGUUCGCUGGAGGAUCUCGUCGCCGAUGCCGUCCGUCGAUCUUUGCCUGCGACCACGUUUGCAUCAAGAUGAACAAACUACGUUGAUUGAUAACAUCAACCCUUGUCCUCUCUUUGCACCACUCACAAAGCAACAUGGGCUAAUUAAGAGGAAUUUUUAUUCUUUUCUUUAUAUAUAUAUCCUAAGAUUCCUAACCAAACUUAUUUGAUCAACCAUGCUUGAAUGAACUAAUUAUAAUUUGACUAUAUUUAAAAUUGUACCCUCAUAUAAUGUUAAGCACCACUACUUUUCAUCUUCUAUCCUAUAUCAUGCAUGAAGUUGUGCGGGCACCACACGCAUUUAGUUUUAUUCUAAAUAAUAAUUACUGUCUAAUUAUUAUUUUUAAUGAGAUUUUUGAUUGUUAUAAAUGUUAUUAGAGUAGCUUCGACUAAUGCUUUAAUACUAUAAUACAUGCUCUUCCGGGGCUAAUCAUGAAAUAAGGCACUCCUUAUUGUCCAUAAGCAAUGUAAUAGUCCUUCGGGUGGCACUUGAUUAAAGAAUAACUAUGGCAUAGCUAAUGAAAGAUGUGUCAUCUUCCACCGUCCCAAUUAGAAGAUCGGACCAAGUCCAUUAUGUUUUGUUGAUAAAGUUGUUUUAAUCCUUUUUGUACUCCCUUUUCAGCAGAUAAUCAAAAUUCCAAUGCGAUCCAAAAUAUUCUAAUUAAACAUUUGUAUGAGGAGAGGGAGGGUAAUAUUGAGCAUCGCAUGCACGAAUUCCGAAGCAAUCAAGAACAAGUGCUCUUUUGAGUAAUUAGCUGGAAAAGGGUAUAAUUAUAGGGUUAAAUAACUUUACUCGAUCUUAUUCUGCUUUCAAAUUUUUCAAGAAUAAUUGCGAAAUUGUUCCGCAUAACCUAUUGAACUGCGAGACUACGGAGGCCUAUCCCUCUCAUGAAAAUAAAUGGUGAUCACUUAGCCUCACUCUAAUUUUAUGAUUUUAUCUCCUUUUGGAUUUCCAAAUUUUGAUCCAUAUCAUCAUAAUUAUGGUUAUCAUCAUGCAAUUUUUUUGGUGCAAACAAGAUGCAACUAAAAGGUAACAUACCUUCUUGCAGAACGUGAGAGUGGAUCCCUCCUAUCAAGCAAAGCACUAGGCUCCCUGGUCUGUGAUGAGGCUGCAAACCUUGGAGAAACCCCUAGCCUCGACGGCGACCCCAGCCUCGACGGCGAACCUGCGACCAUCUUCUUCGCCUCUUCGAGCCAUUCUUGCGUUAGCCUGCUCGUGCUACUCUUGCCAUGGACAACUUCUUCCUCCUCCUUUACACUUGCCCCAGUCAAAUUAUAAGCUCUUUGGUUCGUUCUAACACUUCCAAAGAACCAGUCAUUCAUGAAGUCUGUGAGGUCUGCCACAGGCUCACCAUCAUUAGGAUGCAAUCCUUUCCUCUCCAUGCUCAUCUUUCAAUUGUUUUCUCACAACCUAGCAUAAAAAUGAUCAAUGAUGCAAGGGAGCAGAGAAUCUGGUUCCAGAACAAAACUUUGGGCACAUAACUUUGAUGGUUGCUUAUGGGCUCUAUGAGACUAAUAAAUUCUUGAGGUGUAAACUUGGAGGAGGAGAGGGUGGAAUUUUUUAUGCAAAUGGCUGAGACUACGAAGCAGUGGGAGAUUGGCAUCGGAAUAUUUAUGCGAAGUGUCCGUUAGAGAAUGUCUGCAGGCUGAGAAGGACAAGAAGGCCGGCUUUGGUUUUGACCAAAUCUAGGAGCAAGGCGGCAGUGUCUUCUUUUCUCUUUUUCUUUUUUUUUUUUUUUUAAGCUAAAACGGGCAUUCAUACAUUACGGAUAUGAAUACAUCCAAUAAAAUCGAUAAACAAAAGGUCUCGUAAUGUAACAGGUAUCUCACCCUCCCCAACCCACAGGGUGCCUCUUGAGUGGCUCGCUACAUAUGCUAUCAUCCAGUCCGCCGCCCCAUUAGCCUCACGAUAUACAUGCAUAGCCUGAAAUGUAAUGCCCUCCCUUACUAUCAAUCAAAUAUCAUGGAGCAGGGGAUGAACACCUUCAUCCCUGCUCGUGCCCUGUCGGACCCAGCCGAUCACCGUGGCCGAAUCAUUCUCCAAAAGGAUGGAGGUCACCUGAAGCACGUGCCACGCAUAAUGCAAUCUCAUCCAAGCCGGCAAUGUCUUGGAACGCGGAAAAAGCAUCGGCAAAUUGGGCACAUUGCAUCCUUUGUUGAUGAAAUUUAACAGAAUUUAAGGUUGUGAUAGAUUGUGGUAGCCACCUGUCAAUUCCACUUGGCUGAGUGUAGUUGUGACAACAAAAAAAAAAAAGAAGUAGGCGGCCAUGGGAAAACAACAUCUCAUCUUUUAUAUUUACAUCUGGUUGUCAAAGGGAAUUGUCUAAGUGUUUGUGUGAUCCUGCCUUAGGCUGGUUUAAUGAGAUGAUGCUAAGUUCUCUCAAUUGGAAACUAUGCUGUUGAAGCUAAGAUGGCCUUAACAUGCAUGUGUUUUUGAAUAGUCUUUUGGGAAUAGGGGCUUAUCAAGGGGAAAGGUUGGUUUUAUAACUUAAAGCCUUGGGGUUGAGUGGAUCAACCCUAAGGUGUUAAGGUUUCACAUAUGUUUCUGUAGUUUUUUUUUGUUAGAUAAUGGAUUCUAUGCAAUGUUAUAGUCUUUGUUUAAAAAAAAAAAAGUGUAUUUCGACAAAAUAUCUAAAAUUACUAUAAUAUGUAUGCACUUGACUUUGAUAAUCAUCAUUGGACAAUAAAUUUAUAAUUUAAGGAUAUUAUAGCAUCUUGCAGCCAAUUUAAUAUUUGAUAUUCAAAUAUCAUCGACGAAAUUGACACAAAAAUUUUCUUAAACAUAUUAAGCAAUAGUUCCUUUCUUUUUAAUAAAAAAAACUAUAUGAUCCCAUUUUUGACAUUUACGAUCCAUAAUAUUUAACAAUAGCCAAAGAGAUCUCAUAAAAUUCAAAGAAAAUGGAUGUUCGAUAAUGUGAAAUAGAGGUUGAACGCAUAUGAUAAAUUUUGUAGGAAAUCAUCUACUCUCUUUUUGCUUAAAUUUAAAUGACUUGACUGGAUCUUUAAAACUAACUACUAUGAGCAUUUAAUUGAUAACAUUCUUUGAAUGUUUUUUUCAAAUAUUUUAAACAUGAUAUUUAAGAUAAUUAAUUCCACCUUUAAUAUUAUUACUUAAUAUUUGUUUACAAUAUUUACAAGUAGAUCUAAAUCCAUCAGAUUUUUUUCUUCAACAAAUGAUUCCACAAAGGAUAUUUUCUUACAAUUGUUUUUUUACCACAAAAGGAAGAUUUACACUACUAUAGUAUGAAUACAUAAAAAACAAAACAAAAAACAAUAUAUACCAACAAGCCCUAGGCAUCUAUGCCUCAUAGGUCCAAAGAACUCCACUGAUUAGCCACAUAAGAUGCCAUCUAGUCUGCUAUACUGUUUACCUUCCGAUAGACAUGACUCACCUCAAAGGAGAUGCAUGCCCUCGCUAAGCUCCAUAUGUCAACCAUUUUCACUAUCUUCUUCUAUAGUGUCAUUCUCAUUUCUUGUAUUAUCAAUAAUCUCAUUUUUUACCAUAUUAGAAUGAGCCAUUGUAGUAAAAUAAUCUGCCCAAAUAAUAAUAUAAAUGAUCAAAACAGAAAUCAACAUGUAAAUAAUAAUAUACAACAGAAAUUAUAAUUGCAUUAUGUUUAGCAAUCAACACAUCCUAUCUACACUAAAACACAUACAAUCAACAAUAUAUUCCAAGAAUAACAUUGUAGGUAGUAACAAGUGUAUAAUUCAUGCUUCAAAUUAAUUCCAUCAUCUCAAAUGAAAAGGGAAAAACAAGUCAAGGUUAUACUCUACAAUCUCUGAGAAUCUUGCUAUCUAAAUAUGCUAGCGGCAUACGGUUCAUUGGAACGGGAUAUUAGCAACAUCAGAUUCUAAGGUAAUCUAUCUAAGGUGCUGACAAAAUAAGGAGACAAACUUGAAAUGAAAACAAUUUCUACUAUAUAUAUAUAUAUAUAUAUAUAUAUAUAUAUAUANNNNNNNNNNNNNNNNNNNNNNNNNNNNNNNNNNNNNNNNNNNNNNNNNNNNNNNNNNNNNNNNNNNNNNNNNNNNNNNNNNNNNNNNNNNNNNNNNNNNNNNNNNNNNNNNNNNNNNNNNNNNNNNNNNNNNNNNNNNNNNNNNNNNNNNNNNNNNNNNNNNNNNNNNNNNNNNNNNNNNNNNNNNNNNNNNNNNNNNNNNNNNNNNNNNNNNNNNNNNNNNNNNNNNNNNNNNNNNNNNNNNNNNNNNNNNNNNNNNNNNNNNNNNNNNNNNNNNNNNNNNNNNNNNNNNNNNNNNNNNNNNNNNNNNNNNNNNNNNNNNNNNNNNNNNNNNNNNNNNNNNNNNNNNNNNNNUUUUAGGUUAGAAAUAUAAUCAAAAAUAAUCCUAUAUUACACUAUCACGGCAAAGUGUUUUCGUGAAUAUUGGAAAUUUUGAAUAUAACGUACGAUUGUUCAAAAAUUUAUGUUAGGUAUAAUUUUUACUUUUUUGAAAAAAUCCAUUUUAUCAAUUAAUUUCUCCUUUUUGUAAUUUUCUUUUUUAUUUUUAUUAUCCAACAAUUUUUUGAAAAGUAAAUUAUACUUUCUAAACCAACUGCAACUAUGGAAUGUGUGACCAUAAUCUUUAAUUUAUAUAAGAAAUGUUAUGCUAAUCGAGGUUCUUUCGUAUCUUUUAUAUCGAUCAUAAUAGUGGGAGAGGAUAAAGAAUUUGUUAGUUGGCUCAGAUGCUAAUGAUAAGAAACCAUGCAUAUUUAUUGGUGGGAGAGUGAAUAAAACUAUGAGAAGUAAUUAGACAAAGAGGGAAUAUUGACCUUAUGUAUAUAUAAUGAAAGAUUGCAAGAGAAAGCAAUACUAAAAUAAAAAUUGAUGCUAAGGCGAGCCACCCUAUCCCCCCCCCGGCGCAUGUUAGCUGUGCUCCGGCUCCUCUCGCUACCGAAACCCUAACCCUGAUACUAAUCUCAUCGUCUUCUCAGAUCCAGUCUCGAAGGAAGGAGAAAUGUCCAAGGCCUGGGUCGGAGUUGGCGCCUGGGCGCUCGAUGCCGAGCGCGCGGAGGCGGAGGAGCUCGAGCAGGCGGGGGCCGAGGAAGCUUCCUCCUCCGCCUUCGGCACCGCGGGCACCGUCCUCGCCAACGAGCCCGCCCAGAGCUUCCCCAGCCUCAAGGAGGCGGCCGCCACCAAGCCCAAGAAGAAGAAGCACGUCGCCAUGCCUCUAUCGCAGUUCGCCACUUCCUAUAUCGGCGGCGGCCGCGGGGAAUCUUUCUCCGAGCCCAGGGGCCUCACCCCGGACGAGAUGCUCCGCCUCCCAACUGGUCCUCGAGAGCGCUCCCAGGAGGAGCUCGAGCACGGCCGCCUUGGCGGCGGGUUCCGGAACUACGGCGGUGGAUCCCGUGGGGGUUUCCCUGGUCGCAGAUCCGACGACGGGGAAGGUUCCUGGAGUGGCGCUGGUGGCGGCAGGAGGUCAUACGGUGGUUUUGAUGAGGAGCCGCGGAGGGGACCGCCGGCUAGGGUUUCCGAUUUGGACCUCCGAUCGAGGGCUGACGAGGUUGAUAACUGGGCUGUUGGGAAGAAAUCCUUUGCUCCUGCACCGAUCGAUUCCGGACGCUCUGAUCGAUAUAGCUCGCUUGGUAGUGGAGGUUCAUCGAGGGCUGUCGAGGUGGAUAACUGGGCUGCCGGGAAGAAGCCUCUCCCUUCCAGGUACCCCAGCUUUGGAUCGGGGUUCAGGGAUUCUCGUUCUCCAUCCGAUUUCGACCGGUGGGGGAGGACAGGUGGAGGACCUCUGCCCAACAACGAGGAGAGGCCAAGACUCAUCUUGGAUCCACCGAAGGGGGAUGUGGGAGCACCGAGUGAGCCUGUGAGAACUCGUCCUAGCCCGUUUGGUUUUGCGCGGCCAAGAGAGGAGGUUUUGGCAAAGAAAGGGGUGGAUUGGAUGAAGAUAGAUUCUGAGAUUGAUUCCAUAAAGGCAAGCCGGCCGACUAGCUCGCACUCGAGCAGGCCUUCUAGUGCACAGUCAAGCAGGCCUGGGAGCCCUGGUUCACAAGCAGCAGCAGCAGCAGAUGAAGCCCCCAAAUCUCGGCCGAAGGUGAACCCUUUUGGUGAUGCCAAGCCCCGAGAGGUUCUGUUGCAGGAGCGGGGUAAAGAUUGGAGGAAGAUUGAUCUGGAGCUAGAGCAUUGCAGUGUUGACAGGUAUAGACUCUCUAUCUAUAUCUCAACAAUCCCGACUACCUUUUUAAUAUGUGUUUUUAUGUUUUCUUUAUUAGUCUAGCAGUAGCAACAUUUUCUGGUUUCCUGUCUCCAAAUGCAGUAUGCUGAGAUCAUAGUGCAUCAUUGUAUUUAAAGCAGUGUAUAAUUCUUAAUUGAUACUUAUUGCUUGCAUAUAAAGUCGGCAUCUUGGAAACUUUGAAUUGAUUGUUUUCAUCAUCAUUUGUUGAGUGUCAGUUUUGUUCCAUAAAGAGGUUCAUAUAGGAAAUUUUUUAAUUUCUAUGCUGGAUGUUUUGAUUGUUUAGGAAUGACACCUAAGCUGCCCGUGCAGCCUUUGUGGCUUCAUAACAAGGAAGCUAACAUAUUUGCUCACAGGGUCGUUGGUUGUGUAGUCUUAAAAUUUUUGUCUGCAUUAACAACAGAAUGAGAAAUAUGCAAAAAUUUGAGGUAUUCACCAAUUGCAAAUAUUUAGAUUGACGACAUGAUACCCGCCAUCCUGAGUGUUGGGAUGCAGGGCAUUUGAUUCCCCGAAGAAACCGAUUGCUUUGCCCCAUCCCACGUUAUUUAUAAGCUUGGUUAUAAGGGCUUUGUAUAAGUGGAUUUUGUUGCUAAUGCACCAUGUGACUCAGAUUAGACUUGAGAAAUGUGCGGACUGAGUAGGGACUAGAAAACCCAGACCUUGCCUGAUUUUCUUCUUGCAUUGUUGUUAAAGCCUUACAAUCCAUAUCCGAUUCAUUAAAAUGGCCUUGAUUAAAAUGGCACUAAAUGAUCAGAGUCAAUUAGAAUUGCGAUAUCUAGAUCUGUUAUGCAUUGUACAAUCCCUCGAAUCAUAUGAUCUAAUUGGAUCAUGUUACAUACAUAUUAACUCAUGUGGAUUUUUGUUUUAUUUAAUAUUUUGGAUUAUAUAGCUUUUACAAUUACUUAUUUGUCUCUAAUAAGCUCGACCUCAUAAAAUUAGCAAGCUCAUUUUAGUUUUUGACUUAUAGAAAGUAAAGAAACAAAAUAUUUUGGAGUUAUAUGGAAUUUAUGCUUAAGAGACAUAUCUUUCGUAUUUGUACAACUAUUUCUUAAAGCCUACUUUUGUUUCUUAGAAAUAUCCUACGUAAAGGGAUGAUUGAGCUUAUAGGUAGUAAAAAAGUAUCUUGGAUAAGUUUACAUGAUGAUUGUUUCAUUUUGCAUUGCUAUAUAUGGGUUUUUGAUGGUAAAAACUAAAGUUCUUAUAUGUAAUGCUUUCAUUCUUCAUUCAUUUUAUUCAUUGUUUAUCAUUUUUCUUUCAAUUUUCACACUUCUUUUAUAUUUUGAGUUUUUUGAAUAAAUCAGACACUCUUAUGAUGAGUGACUCAAUCCACAACACUGCCUGAUUUAACCCUUUAUAUGAUUUACGACUCAAUUAUGAUCCUGACAACAUAGUUCAUAUGGGUUAGGAUUUUGUGCUGGAUCAUUCUUCAUACAAGGGUCGGUCCAAUUUGUUGUUGUGUCAGAUCAUGGGUUGACCUGACCCAUUUGCAAACGUAUUAAUGAAUCUGUGCAGCUAAACAAUUGCGUGUUGAAAUUAUCUUAUUAUAAGUGAUUUUUCAUGAAGCUUAGUGCUUCCCAUGAGUCCCUUUGGCCCUAGGAACACAUACUGCACCAAUAAACCUGGGAUAAAAUUUGAGGUUCUUAACAAUUAUGGAGAAUGGUACCUUGAGAACUAUGUAUAGGACUUGUUUCUAGUUAGGUAUUUUAUUUCUUGUUAUCAAUUGAUAGAAGAAAACUAUGUACUAUGUCAAAGCUGAAGGAGGCUAUACCUAUUAGUGUAGUGCAAAAUUAUAAGUUUUGGUUAGCACUAAUCCAUUUUGAACAAGACCAAACCAAACUUGACCCAGUUUGAGGUUUCGGUUGAGUUUUGGAGGUUUUGAUCUUCGAGAUUCUGGUGAGUUUCAGCUAAAGCUGACCAAAACUAGCCAUAGAUGCUUUUUUUCGUAGAUUUGUUUCGUUGUUUACUAUCAUAUUUUAGUCACCUUUUUAUUUAUUUAAGUUCUUAGGUUAUGUGGUACCAAUUUUCAAUGCAUUUUCUUUUUCUUUCUUGAGUUAAAUGAAUAUAUAAUAAAUAUAUUAUGUGACAGGCAGAGGCCUGUAAAAUAGUUUUUAUUAUUAGUACUUUAAAAAGAUUAUUGUAAGUAGCUAGUACAUUAUGUUUUACAAAAAAUAUUUUUUAUAUAAAGAAUAUCAUUUUGCUCACCCACUUGAUGAUGAUGAUGAUGGUCACCAUUAAUUUAAUGUCGACCUUGCAAAAGUAUGUGGUAUUGAAUAAGUAAAUCUAACUUAUUUUAUACUCUUACAUACUUGUCUUGUUAAUUUAUGAUUGAUUGAGUGAUACUGGUAUUUUUCUUAAGAGAUUAGCACAUUCAUGUGAUAUAUUAAAGCUACUAAGCCUCAACAUUGUUUACUUUCAGCCUGAAACUGUCUGGACUACAUUAUAAUCCUAGAUAACUUAAAACAUAAUGAAAAGAGGUGAAAUAAAUUGACUUCAAUUUUUUAUUUUUAUUUUCUCUCAAUCUUUGGGUUUUUUCAACUGUUUUUUUGGACUGAAAUUUCGAAACUCGGAGUGAAACUACUGGAACCAAAACUUUGACUGAGGGGUCGAAUGAGUCCUAAAACCUUGGUGAAUAGGCAAAUGAGCAAUGGAGGAGAAUGUCAAAAUAGAGUAAUAUUACUUGGUAGAUUUCUUGAAAAGGACCGCCAACAAUCUUUAUUUAGAGGGUACAACUGCUUUUUCAAGAUAAUGAGUGAUAGAUACAUGAUGUUUCUAGAAUUGGCCAAAUAUGAGCAUUGUUGUAAUGUGAAACAUAAUAGAUGUUGGUAUUGAAGUAUUGAGCUAGUGUAAGGACAUCCAUUUAACACCGUUUUAAAUCUUGGGUUAUUUAGGAAACUGAGAUGGUGGCUUAAAAAUCAAGUGGAAGAUAUGAGUGCAACUGUAUGCCAAAAGCACCUAUUUUUCCAAUUAGGAAAGUAGGACAGGGACCUAAGGCUCUAUGAGAUGCACUUAAGAUACGAACACCUACUUGUCCUUGUUUUAGAUAAUUUCAACUUGUUGCCAUUACUUGAGCUGCAUCACAUGUGCCUAUAGUGUUGCAGAUGAAAGAUGAGAGCAAAAUGAACAAAUAAGAUGUUAAUCUUGAUCACUUGAAUGGAGGUACACUUGGAGAGACUUUAUAUUUGAUUGUUGACUUAGUCUAGAAUACGAUGUUUUCUUCGAGGGAAUCUCUUUCUGGUCUAGUUGCUACCUUGUUAUUGGUUUAUAUGUCUCUUCUUGCCUGGCCAUGGGCUAGCAUUGUCCCUUAAUAUGCUGUUUAGGUUUGCAAACAGAUCGGAUCCAAAAUUAGUCCAGUAUGAGCUAAAUCCAACCUGUUUUAGAUAUGGGGAGCCUGAUCUGUCCUUCUCAGGUUCUUUGGGGAAAAAAUUAGGUUAGGCUAGGCCAGGCCAAUCCUUGCAAAAAGGGCUACGAGAAAAAAUAAUGACCCCAAUCCCAUUUUCUAGAAGGGGUUAUGCUUUAUUGGCCUGGAUAUGACCUACAUAUCUUAAAAAAAUUGGAGUGGCUGCAUCUUGGCUAAGCUGGUUGACUUGAUCUAUGUGCAUGCUUAGACUUGUUUGAUUGCUGUAGUUUGGGAAUCAUUCUAUUCAAGUUACCAUUAGCUAUUUUCUGAAUUAUUUAGAAAACACACAUAGCUAGUGUUUGAAUUAUUGAGAAACCCAAUUUUUCAUGAUCCUUCAUUAGCCAAAAGAUUCUUGGUUAUAUUCGUGGAAACCCGAAACCUCCAACUAUUUAAUGAUUCUGAAAUUUAACAAAAUAUCAUGUCUUCUAAAUACACACACAUCAUUUGCUAAGGUGGCUAUGUCUCCUUGGUAUGGCUUCCUUUGACAUUUCCAUGUUGCCACUCUUGUAGAUAAUUUAGCGAUGAUGCUCGAUCAUUAUUAUUAAGAAAAUCCCAUGCGUUUGAAAUUUAGAUUGAGCUGUGAUUAACUUUGGGCCUGCUUGGUUGCCCAUAAUUGGGUAUCUAAACUCAGUUCGUGCCAGAGGAGCUCGCUUUGGGCAUUUGGUUGGCCUGAACUGGAGCUGAACUAAGUUCCCACUUGGCCCAAUUUAAGGGAGAAAAGGCCUGAAGUGGCUUUGGCCCAAGGGGAGCCGAACCAACUCCAGUGAAGUGGGCUCCCGUUUGGCCCACUUACACCAAACCAAACAAGCCCUUUGUCUUGGUUGGUCAAGUUGGCUUUGUACAAGGGCUUCUAGUAAGCCCUGACCUUUCAUUCACAUCACUAAAAUCAUUAGUAUGCUGUCCAGGGUGCCAGAACUUUGGAUAUGCUGCCUAUAAGUAGGAAAAUAAGCACCUGAUUGUUCAUGAAUCUGGAAUGCGGCUGGAUGUUGUUCGCUCACUUAUAGAUCAGCAAAAUAAUUUUCAUGGUUUAGAAAAUCAACUUAAUAUUGUCCUAACCUGCAUAGAUAGGCAUGGUUGUUUAUCCAACCUUUAAAGUUACUUCAGAGUUUCCUUCUCGUCAAAAAUAACAGAGAAGAUGGAAUUCUAGGUCUACCUUUGCCCGUAGAUUGUGGAAGGUCAAAUGUGAAUCAAAACUUGAUAUUAGGUGAAGCAACCACUUAUCAACAUGUUUUAACCGAGUACCAUACUGUUGAGUUUGUCUUUCCGAUUGGCAUUCAUCAACAUCUUGCAGAUGUUGCUGACCUGCUAACGAUGCUGGACCUUAGGGCCUUCGUUCCGAUUUGAUGUCCUAGUUUGAUGCAGAUCUGAUUCAAUUGCUCGUGAAAUCCUGAAUUAGAUAUUGAAUUUUAAACUGACUUGAAUAUGGAAACCUUAUUUUCUUUCAGAUUCUUAACUGAAAAUUGGCAAGGCAAAGCAAGUCUCCAUUCUUUUGUAAAGAUCAAAGCCCUUGGCUGAAUGUAACACAGCCAAAAUUAAAGAAAACUUGGUAUGGGAAACGGAGAAACAGAAACCAGAUAUUUAUCAGCCUUUAGAAGACAUGCAAUUUUGAAUCACAGCCUUAUUAUGUCUCCACUAUUAAAUGUUAAGAGGACUGGAGCUAUCUUGAGGGGAAUGCUAAAUUCUUGCGUUCAACUUAUAAAUGUAAUUGAAAGAGGUGGUAAGACCUUUGGGGGAAGUCAUCUUGAGAGUAGGAGGAAAUAGGAUAGCUACUCUCCUUGUUUCCAUUUUCCUUAUAUUUUAAAUAUCUCGUUUUGUGUUGUUUCAUCUUUUUCUCUCUUUUCUCUAUUCUCCUUACUUUUCUCUCUUGUUUGCUCUUUGUUCUACUCCAUGCAAGUUGCUAGCUAUCUCUUUUGCAGCCCAAAAAUCAAGGUUGGCCAAACCAUCCCAAAUCUCUGGGUUCUAGGCAUACUGUAGCAACCAGCCAGGACUGAAAUAGUUGAAUCUCUCUAAAUAAGGGAUGUGGCGAAUCAGGCCGAAUCGACUGGUUCCACCUGAUUUCAGAUGGUACUAACAGGUUGUGCCUAGUUACGGCAUUUAGUUGUCCUAGCCCUCUAUCAGGAUCUCUUCUUCUCUAUUCGUCUCCCUCUCUCUCUCUCUUUUACCCACCCUUCUCAAUCUCCUUGGCCCUGGUACCGACCUCAUUGAGCUCGCCUUCAAUGUUGGUGCCUACAUCUACUCGUUUGGCCUCCAUGGGCUCCACCACAUCCACCACCACUAUCUCCGCCAACCAUGAUAGGAUGCUGGACCCCCUUCUCCUAUGCCUCCAUCCUCCCUCUUAAGUUUUACAGUAAAACCAUCUUCUGUACCAUGUGUCAUUACUAUAUGAUAUCGUACCAUACCGGACUGAUAUAGGUCAUUUUCAUACCUUGUUAAAAAUAAAAUCUAUACCAGCGUAUGCCGAACUGGUACGGGCCGGUACAAACCGGUCCGACCAGCUACCGGUACGCCGGAGCCGUGGAAACCGGUACAGGCCGGUUCCUUGCCGGAGACGAAGAAGACGAGGAGAAAAAGAGAGAGCGCGGGGAAGAGAGGGAGGGAGCCCACCUUCGGCCGCCAUCGAAGAGCCGCGGAGGGGCAUCGGAGGCCGGUGGGGGGCGGCGCAGCCCGGCGGGGGACGGGGGAUCCCGCGGGGGCGCUGCGGAGGCCGAGGCCGUGGCCGCGUCCAAAAUUUAGGAAUUUUUAAGUGAAGUCGGCAACCAAUUUGCCGACUUCACUUAAAAUCCCCAAAUUAAAAAACGUGGCCGCGGCCUCCGCAGCACCCCCGUGGGUUCCCCCGUCCCCCGCCGGGCUCCGCCGCCCCCCACCGGCCUCCGACGCCCUCCNNNNNNNNNNCUGAAGGUGGGCUCCCUCCCUCUCUUCCCCACGCUCUCUCUGGUUCUCUUCUUCUUUCCCGGUUCCGGCGGAGAAGAGCUUCCCGGUUUGUACCGCCCGGAGCACGGUACGAACCGGCCCGUACCGGUCUGCUAGGCAACCGGUACGCCUACCGGACUCGGUAUGGCGGACCUUGAUCUGUACAGCCCUAUUUGUCUCUCGCUUAAGAAUAAGAAUAGAUCAUGCAGCUAGUCCUGCAUAACAAUGACUAGUAUCAGUUCUGGAUUCAUCACUAAGGCAUUUUUAAGAGUUUUUGUUUUCAACCAUUUAGAUCAAAAUAGCUGAAUUUGGAAAAAUUGUGAUUCUUAGAGUUUACAUAAUACAUUUGAUAUGCAAUUUUUGUCAUGUACCAGCAUGAGUACUCCAUGAUUGUUGUAUGCAAUUAAUUUCUAAAGAGUGAUCAGGGUUCAUAUUUUCAGUUUUGAUAUAUAAAAGUUUUAGCUUAUUGGUAGGAUAGUCUUUUUGUAUACAGUCCAUGAUACCGUGACGAGAUUUCCUCCAUGUUGCUUUGAUUAAAUUUCCUCACAUUAUUCAACAGCACCAGAUUUAUGACUGAAUUGUCUUAUGUUUCUGGAUGACGCCGCUUUGUCAGGACAUGUUUAAUGUUCUUUUGAUAUCGAAUUCUUCAGACCUGAGACAGAUGAAGAGAAGAUGCUGAGAAUAGAGAUCAAUCAUCUGAAGGCACUGACUAACAAAACUGAGCAGAAUCAGAAUGGAAAAUCUGCACAGUUAUCCGCUGAAGACUUAUCCAGUCUACAUGAGCAGAUACUUAGCAAAGAGAGAGACCUGGAGAUGCUUAUACGUCACUUGGAUGACAAGGUAAGGUUUGGUCAAAGAGCUACCAGCAACAUCAGGCCUAGCUCUGGAGCUGGCAGUAGCGAUUCAUCCUCUACUAGGCCACCAUCUCAGUCUGGUUUGUCUGAGGAGUCAAGAAGCAUUGAUUUCACGGAUAGACCUCGAUCCCGUGGUGGCAUGGGAGAUAUCUGGUCCAGGCCUGUUGAUGAUAGACGAGGAUUUCAUGGGGGUAGAGAGAGAAGCUUCUUUGACAGCAGAAAUAUGGACAGGUAUAUUUUUUGCAGUUAACGGUCAUGGGCUUAUGUUGCUGCUACUUUCUUUCAUUCUGUGUGUCAGACUUUUGUUGAUUUUAUAUUCAGUUAGUUAUAAGUAAAAGUAUGGUCAGCUAGUGCCCUGGCACAAUUCUUUAUUUUUAACACAAGGAAUACCAUUCAAGUUUCAAGAUUGUGAAGUGUGGCGCAAUGAUAAGGUUGCUUCAUUGUAAUCUGUAGGUCAUAAGUUUGAAACACCGAAAUACCCUCUCAGCGCACAGGGAUAAGGCUACAUAGAUCUGACCAUCUCUAGACCCCAUAAUGGCUGCAUCCUUGCGCACACCAGGAAAAAAAAAAAGAAAGCUAGUUUGGAUAUUUUACUUAAAAACAUUUGGUGAUGUUGCAGCUCAAUUGCCUUUUUUUUUGGUUUUUUUUUUGCCCCUUAAAGGAAUGUCAUCUUGAUUGGUUGACCUUUCAGACAUCAUGCAUUUAAUGAUUUUUAUCCAUACAGUUGAGCAGUUCCCUUUGUGAUUUAUAGAGAGAGUUCUUAAGAAUCCAGUCAGCCAUUCAGUAAGCUGUUCUUUAAAGUCUAGUCUGAAGACAUGUUGAAAUGCCAAUGGGUGGGCAGUGUUUUGCACUUCCUUCUAAAAUGUGGGAGGAGGUUAUCUAUCGACUUAAUGGUGCAGCGCAUGUGAUGAGAAGUGUUCAAGACUCCAUCUUGUUCAUAAUUUGCUUUGCUUAGAUAGCCCAAGUUUGUGAUUUAAUAAUCAUGGUGCCAUUUCGUAAGUCAAUGGUGUUUAUUUGGCAUAUCUUUGCUAAUUCACUUUAUCUUAUUUUCUUUUGUUUCUCUCAUUUUCAGGUCGAUGUCUAGGGAGAGAUGGUGAAUGCUGCUGGUGUGAAUGCUUGGGUUGGGUUGUUUGUUUUUAUUUUAUUUAACAUCAGUAAACAUAGCAAUAACUUGUUCUUUUUCCUUUUUAAUCCUUGUUCAUUUUUGCUGCCAGAAAAUGUGGUGAUAAAUCACGGAUAAUGAUGAUAACAUUUUCUUCACAUUAUUUAUUGCUGCCUUGAUGCAGUGUAAGAUUUGCUUUUUUCCAUGUCAAGGCAAGUAGGCGGACUAUAAUGUAACCUAAAUUUACUUUGAUAGUCUAAAACUAUGUUUUGUCGUACUUAAAUAUUUUCUGCAACUUCCUGCUUCAUCGUAGCCUUUAAGAUGCUAUUCGUGAGCUAAUUCUACUUUUUAUCAACUCCCCUCCAGCCGUUUGCAUCUGAGUCCGGUUGGUGCAGAAAUCUCUUGGGUCAGCAAGAUGAAACAAAUGAGAAAAUGCUAUGGUUUCUUUAACAAGAGAUUUCUCAAGGCCUUUUUUGUUUUCUUCCUUUUUUUAAACUAAAUUUGUCAAGCUUUGUCCAAAACUUGAAUGGAAGUAUCGAAAUGGAGUUGAAUGUUGACAGGCUAUUGGAUUCUUUUCAAACUAGAAGGCAGCAAAGCUUGAACAGGGUCGCAUGAAUGCUUGUCAAUUUUAAAAUCUGAAGCAUCUAUCGGGAAGGCAAUGUGGUGGCGGACAAGCGCGCGUCGCAGGGACUGGAAGCGGAUGCUAAUUGGACCAAGGGUGAUUCUCUUCCACCCAGACUUUCUAUGUUGUUGCCAGCUGAUGCUUAUGGAACUUGUUUUGUAAGAACUGGAUUUGGGCUUGCCUCCUUUACUGUACCCAAAAAAAAGAGAAAGAAAGAAAACUGAAUUGCCAAAAUCUUAUGGUUUGUUGCAGAUUUGAAUGCAUGAUUCUUUUCUGUAGGCUUCUCUAUGACAAUUUCAGAGUUUGAUGACGGUUCCUAAUGAAAUCGAGGGCUUUCGAUGAGGUUGGGAGGGGCUGGAAGAAGACUAAAAAGUAAUACAAAUAUUUACCAUGACAACUACUCUCUGAAUGGCAUAUACAUUAGUUAAUAAGACAUCAUAAAGCCUGUUAUAUUUUAUAAAAUCUUCAAAAGGCCAAGGCCAUCCAGAAAAAAAUAUAGAGCAGAUGCAUCCAAAAAUAUCCGUGGCUGUAUCUAACUCCAGCGGUCAAUUAGGAUAAUUAUUCAUUCACGAAUUGUUGGGGGCGAAGGGCACCUUCAUGUCAUCCUUGCGAUGCUAUGCAAACUUCAGACAUGAAUUAGAAAUCUAGCGUGUAAAAAUCAAUCUAUCGUUGUUAAAACAAGUGGACUGCAUCCAAAUAGAUAUGCUACGAAAGUCAUUUUCAACCCCAAAAAAUUGUUUAGUAAAAAAGAAAAGCAGUCACUCCUUGGCCUUCUUCCUCCUAUCAGCCACGAAGAACAGCAGCAGCAACAGAACCGAGAAGGCGGAGAAGCACCCGGCGGCAAUAUCCAACGAGAGACUCCGGCCGGAGAUCCCCACGACCUCGAACAAAUCGGCAGCCUUGCGGUCGUCCGUGGUCUGGCCGUAGGCCACCACCUUGCCGUCGAAAUCGAGGACGUAUGCUCUAAUAAAGUAGGUGGCGGUAGGCAAUUCUCUGGACAGCUCGUACUCGAAGCUCGUCGAAUUAGUCGUGGUGUAGGGCCGGACGGCGACGCCGAACUGGCACGUCUUGUCCUUGGAGAGAUCGUCGUCUGUCUUUCGCCACCCUCGGUCGGCCUGGCUCGCCGGAGCGUAGCACAGCCUCACCUCCACCUCCUUGUAGGCCUCGUCAGCCCCCGCAGGCAGACUCCGGUUCAGGCCCCACGAUACCGUGAUCUUGUCCUCCCCAGCUCCCAACACUAGAAAGCACGCAAUUACGUGUUCAUCAUAUGUUAACAAAUCUGAAAUUGAAAUCCUUCAGGCGCAGUUGUUUAUUUCCCAGAAAACUAUUCUUUGCUUCCUCUUAUCUGCAUGCUUUUCAACACAUGAAAAAGAAAAAAAGAUAUUCCAAAAUCCAUCGGUCGCAUGAAAUUUUUCUCGGUUUCAUGAAGAAUAUGGAAUUUGUUAUCCGAAACUUUGUUGGUUUUGUUUGUAGUUUGAUCACAUCAGUGGAGAAGAGCGAGACAUAUACCUUGUAUCCCUGUUUGGGGGAUGCAGAGACCAUUAGAGUCUUAGGAAGAGUGGAGAAAAGCACUCCUCCAACAGCAGGGCCUGCAGAUGAAAUGAGGAGGAGGAGGAGGCAAGUUGCCGAGAAUGAUACGAGACCACACAUAUCUUCUUCUUCCUUCUCCGAGAAGGGAGGAAGAGGUGGAAGAAAUCCUAUUCUUUCUACCCUUCGGUGCUUCAUGUUUGAUUUGAAGAGUAGGCAGAGCAGCCGAGCAGGGGAACUUUUCAUUUAUAUCUGCACAACCCCAUGCGCAGUAAGAGGCCGAGGGGCCGGGAUAUCCAAAUUUGAUAAUUUAAUCCAAAUCGGAAACAAGUUCCAUGACACACAGCAGAUAUGGUAGCAAUUUUAGUUGCCCGUCGGAUGGCAACAGGAGUUGGGCUGCAAUUGUUAAAAAUAUCAAGGUUUUAGAAUAAAAUUCCUGCAUAAAAAAGACCCUUCAAGUAAAAGAAUUAGACAAAAGUCUCUUAAGCGAGCGCAAGAUUUGGAGAUUAAUAUUGUGAAAGAAUCAAGUUUACUUGAAUCCUCGGGGCAACUUGGCCCUUAAUUCUAGUUAGGGGAUUUGGAGAUUAAUAUUGUGAAAGAAUCAAGUUUACUUGAAUCCUCAGAGCAACUUGGCCCUUAAUUCUAGUUAGGGCGUAUUGCAUGGAUAUCUUCAGAAAGAUAAAAGUUGCAACUUCUGCAUGGAAGAAGGAUUCACCUUCCUUUUUGUGAACCCAUCAUUGAGAUCGCCCACUGCACAGAUCUCAAGGCACUCCAAACUCCACCUUCCAUUCAUUUGCAAUGAUCUCAAAGCGACCAGUGGAUGACCCAAUGGUUAUGUGAAGGUGAAUCUACCACCCAACCUAUGUCAGCAUCGCUUACUUGUCCAGGUGGAUAUAAUAAAUUCCCGAGCAAUACAAACAAGAGUUGAACUUAUAACCUAUGGGGGUGCUAUUUGCAAUUAUAGCGUCUUACAUCAAAUAGUAUGUGUCGAAUUUUUUUUAGCUUGUUAUUGCAAUCAAACAUACCUGCACCGUAUGCUCACGUUUCUCGUGUUAGCAGAUCGUGACUUACAUCGCCGUCUCUAUUACGUAGGUCAAUCAUAGACCGCCAUACCAUGAAAGUGUGUUCUAUCUCGAUCGAUAGUUGCAUCACAAAUCUUGUAUUCACUCUCCAUCGACGAAAUCAAAUUGCCGACAAAUUUGGAUGCAACAAUUAAUAUAACAACUACCUACAAGUUCACCUCCUUUGGCCCAAUCUAAAAAGUUUGCAGCAAACAUUGCUAGCUCUAAAAUUUUCAAACAAACAUGUUAGUUUUGCAUGAUUGUACAAUUGCACACAUUAUAAAAUCCAUAAAUGUUAAACUCUCAGUGACCACAUAGCAUUUGCAGAGUGGAGGUAUGUUAACCAAUUGCUUGCACACAUUAUAAGAUCCUUUCCUUACUCUUGGUGGGUGUAGGAUCUGCAAAGGCGUAAUAAGGAUUUGCUGCUUGGUCCGGGGCACAAAUCCAUGGAGAAGGCGCACCUCCGCAAUUAAACAUGCCCCCAACAAGGUAAGUUACCAUGGUGAGUCCACCCUUACCUCUGUCCUGGCCAUAUGAAUCCAAUAUUAUAGACCUUUCAUUCAAAUAUUGCAAAUAUAUAUACAUAAAGAGAAAGAAAAAUAUAUAACUACUACAUGGGCUGCCUUCACAUUUUCCCUCUUCUUGUUCGCAUGAUUGUAGUUGAACAAUUAAAGAGGAGAUUUUUUUUUGUCCACACUGAAUAAAAAAAUCAAAAGAUUCUAGCUUUAAUCACCAGAGUUGCUUCUUACUAAAGAAUCUUUUCAUACAAAUGAACCAUUCAAAGCCUUCGCUACGAUCAGAAGGAUAGAAGCCACAAUCCAAUUAACAGCCAUCUUAAGCAAGUUAAACAUUCACACAUUAAAAGGCCUGCCGAGCAUGUUUUGAACACAUUAAAUAUUCACCCUCAAAAUCUACAAUGUUGUUCACCUCGAACUUCACAUAAUUUUUUUUUAACAAAACUACAGAACAAACAUCCAAAUUUACAUUUGUAUGGUGUUACAUCGGUUAGGUUGACAGCUCUAGAACCCUUGCACCUAGAUCACCAACAAUACCAGUUUCCAGUCCCUCGGAAGCUGCAAACAGUAGACUGUAUGUACCUUGAAAGCAGGUUAAUAUCCCAUCCGCCGAUUUUUUCUUUCUUUUUUUUCCCCUUUGGUGGAAAAAUGGGCGCCCGAGGGCUCAAGAAACCUGCCUAUGACCUCCGAUGAAAGUCUCUCGUAAAGAAUGGGUGCCUGAGGGCUUCAUGAGCUGACAGUCUAUCGGAGGGCUCGUACCUGAGGAGACCUUGCAAGAGAUCAAUGAGAUCGCCUGCCGAGUGAUCGACAUGCUGCAUCACCAAGUUCUGCACAGGAAACAAAACCACAAUUGGAUAAGAGAGCAGAUCAAUUUUACAUUCAUAAGCACAAAACGUACGGAUCUGUUAAGAUCUCCAAGAUAUCCCAUGUUAAUUCAGCGAAUUCGAUUCGAGAAACAGUAAAUAUCUUAUCAUUCUUUCAAUUAUGCAAUCAAAAUGAAAACCCACAUCGAUUUAAAUCGCAAGCAGAUCUUACAGACUAGGGCAAUCCAACAAGGAGAAUUGUGGACACUCAAUCUGUAAGCUACCCUUCUCCACAUUGAUAAAGAAAACUUAUAAAAUAUGUUCACCAGUCACAGGCAACUCAUUAAGUGGUUUUUUAUUUUAAUUAGUUGAAGAUAGCAUUCAAGUUUCAACAACCCUUGCAAUCCAUACCUGAAGGCGAGGCAGCUUCUGAACAGCUCUGAUACUCUCUCUGGAGGUGGCAGCCUCCGGCCAAUUCAACCGAGAUCUUUUGAUAUAUUUCUCAGCAUGUCGGCUGAAAGUGAAGAACAAUUAAGAAAUGCCACACGAUUACACAGGUGGAGUUGAAUCAGAGAGAGGAGACUGCUUAUUCUGAAUACAGAAACAACAUAAUUUUGACAGCAUGCAGAUUUACAAAACACUUACUCAGCUCUUUUCAGCAUAUGCUGGGGCAGAGGACCUAAUACUCUCUCCAUCAUGGCCAGAUGUUCGAAAUUCUCGUGGGUCUGAAAAAGUGCCUCACCCUACAACAAAGCAUCAAGAGUUUUUUGUUUAAAAAAAAAAGAUUAUCAAUUGUUCAUGCCAACAAGAAUGAACUGCUGGUGAGAAGAAUAUAACAAAGAGAGCCUUGCAUACCGAGCAAAGUUCCACUAGAAUACAGCCUACACUCCAUAUAUCACAUGGAUAACUCCAUCCAAGUCCUGUUGGAAAUAUUUUCAAAAUCAAAUUAAUGCCACGUUUAUAGAGCAAAUAGGGAAAAUAAGAAAUCAAGAUAGCAAAAUGACAAGUACAUACCAAGAAUAACCUCAGGAGCCCUAUAAUGCCUUGUUGAUACUAUGUAGCUAUGAUCAUGGUGAUCAUAAAUAGUGCUUCCAAAAUCAAUUAACUUGAUAGCACUUGACUUAGGCAAUCUCUUGGAGCAUGAACCAUCAGGCACUUUGAUGUGCUCUGAUGAAACAAGAAGAAUGUUCUCGGGCUUCAAAUCAGUGUGAAUGAGGUUUAAGUCAUGCAUAACUGCAAGGAGGCAAAGGAAACAAGUAUUCUUAACACAUGGAAACCACUAAACGAUCUGAAGAAUAUGUGCAGGAACAAAACAAACCAGUGAAUUACACAAAAUAGGAACCCAAAUAUAAUGCAAGAACAAAACCAACUAUCAUUCAACACCCAGAAAGAGUGCCAAGAGAAGAACCCAAAAGCUAAAGAAGGGAGACUAAAUAGUAUACAGAAGCUAAUAACCAUCAAUGUAAAGCAAAUAUUUAAUUUGUGAAAGUAACCGUCUACACACAUGCAACAGAUUCCAACAGUUGUCUGGCAAGCUCCCGAACUAGAUCAAUGGGAAAUGGGCGAUAACCAUUUUUCCGUAGAAAAUCAUAUAAGCUUGGCCCAAGCUUCUCAAAUACCUGUUGAAAUCAUUUAGAUUCACCGACAACUUUAACCCCAAAAGAUAUUUGGUAAAUUGGGGAAGCUAUCAUAAAUCGAUCAUCAUAUACUUACAAUACAAAUAUGGUUACGAUAGUCAAACCAGUUCCGUAUUUGCACACAACUGCAAAAAUACACCCACUUAAACAGAUGUAACCUUAAACCUACUAAAAUACCAACAAAACACAAACCAACAGAAGACCUUCAUGGAAAGAAAUAGACGAAAGUAUGUCUCACCGGGUACCACCCCUAUCAUGUCUGCCAAGCUGUUGGAGCACAUCAAUCUCUAUCAUUGCAGCCUCCCGAUAUUUCUUGAUGGCACGGACAAUUUUUAUUGCUACCAUUUCUUUCUUUUCUCUAUCCCAACAUUCCAAGACCUGACCAAAGGUACCUGUCACAUAACAAAAGGACAUAUUUGAAAUAAGAAUACAAGCUAUUAAGAGGAAAUUAAAUAUAAAUAAAGCUCAGCUAGGAUACUCCAUCAAAUUACCAAUGAAGGAAUGAUGAGAAACAUAACCAUGCAGGAAGAAAACAGAUAUUACUAUCAAAAAACCAUCUAGGAAAAAGAAUAUAAAGGGAGCAAAUAAUGAAACUUUAUUACUGAAUGUUAUCAGGAGCAAAACAUCUACAAAAUAAAACAGAUGUUACCAUAAAAAACCAUCUAGAAAAAAGAAUAUAUGGGGAGCAAAUUAAGAAACUUUAUUGCUGAGGGUUAUUAGGAGCAUAGGAACUAACCUUCACCCAUUUUGCUGUAGAUUUUAUCUGCAACCAAAGCACAAGCAGAAGAUUGGAGUCAGAUGUGUGUAAACAUGGCAAAUAAAAGCAUAUUAUUCAUGCAAAACAUGCAACCAUGCACAGAAAACACACGAAAAAAUUUCUGAAGUUUACAGUUGCAACAAAAUCACGACGGAGAAGAGAUCAACAUAGUUUUAACCAUAAUAUGCCAUACCAAACCGGACAGUACCAAGCGUACCAUACCAUACUAGUUCGGUACUGGUACCGUACCGACACUCGGUAUGCUAAAAAAAAUUAUGUACCAUACUGUACCGAUAUUAUGCUAGUGCAACACCGGUCCGCUACCGAGAGAGCGAACCUUGAUUUGGACGCUUUAAAAUUUAAAAAAAAAUACAAAAACCAAGUUUUUAAAGGAAAAAACUUACUAAAUGCAAAAACAAGAAGCCAUAGAAAUGACAGCAGAGAAAAAAAACAUCAAGGGAAACAAAAUCAACAAAUGCAAAGUUUUGCAAAACUUUUCAGAAAAAGAGGAAAAAUCAACAGAUAAAAAAGAGGCCCUUUAGCUAUAUAAAAAAAAAUACAUUGGCAACUAGCUGAGUACAAGCACGAAAAGCAUACUCUAGCCACAGUAUUGAUACUAAAUUGUUUAGAUAUAAAAUUAGAUGUAUGUAAUAAAAGAAUAAAUCCAUGAGAACGAAAAAGAAUGGACAAAAAGAUGAUGCACUUUACAUUGGAAAGAUAGUUCAAAUCAAUACCACCAUAUCCUCUACUCAUGCAUCCAUAUCAUACAUAUUUCUAUAGAUAAUUUGAUCAUAAAUGCCAAAAAAGGAACAGAAAGAAGAAGAAAUGCAGCAAACCACCAAAACUGCUAGUGACAAACCGCCCACAGAAUAUAUAAGAUUUACAGUGGUAGUCAAGUGUAAUUACAGCGAGAGGUCAAAUUCUCUCCAAGCGCAAACAUGUAAUGCCCAUCUUUAUCAUCUUCUCUCCGAGGAGGGGACGCAUUUCGAGCCACUCCCUUCGAAUACAGAGAAGAAGAAGUAUGGUCUGAUGGUGCCCUCCAAGAUAUCAAGCUGGUCACAUCUCCAACUUCUUGCCCACAUAACAUUCCUAUCUGAGCCUACACAUAGCCAUCCAUUCAUUUUUUCCACUCAUCAAACAAAAUCAUGACUAAACUCCCUCCCUUACAUAUGUGUUCCCCAUGAUCCAAAUUGAGCAAUAAACAUGUUCUCAAUAGAAGUUACUUAACAUAAGCUAGAUUAAAAGGGAAACAAGCAUAAGAAACA